GUCUCCAUCUUCUCGGGCUCCUAAGAUAUUGAGCAUAAGAAUAAGCCGAAUCCGAUUACAAGCUGUUUGCUUCAUAAUCACUUGAGUUUCCUCUCUGAGUUCAUCGCAUUGGCGUGUAACAUCUCCAAACCUUUCUCCUAUAUUUCUUUGCUCCUCUCUUAUGCAUCUUUGAUCUUCCCUUAUCUUUCCCAUUUCUGAUUUUAUUCCCUGGACCCUCACUUUCAAACUCUUCAUUUUUGGUUUGAAAGCCUUCUUUCUCAUGCUCAUCGCCAUUUUAUGGACUUAAAAUUUGAAGCUCAAAGAAAACUGAAACAGAAUGCGUUGGAGAUAUAGUCUUGGAAUGUAUUGAGUGAAAUGCCACGAAGACUCCAUUGAGUUGGAGAUAUAACGUGUCUAGGAAAAUAGAAACGCCAGUGUUGUCUAGGAAUCGGGCGUCGCGGUCAGAGUGGCUGGGAACAUUGAUUAUUGUUAAUAUUCAAAGCGUUAUGAUUGGUUGUUGAUAUUUUCUAGGCUUUUCUUGCUUCACAUACUUUUUUUAUGUAGGCCAUAUGUCGAGCCUGUGCUUUAUUUUGUCAACCUAUCGAUGUAACUUUUCAGAAAAGUUUUCACUUCAAAGUGCUAUUAUGCUUUGCUCCUCGUUUUUUCUUAUUAUAACCUUUUUAUAUUAUUUUAUCAUUAAAAUAAUAAAAUAUUAUUUGAUAUGAUAUUUGUCUUUCACCAAAUCUAGUGUCAAUAUUAUCUAUAUUUGUCUUUUGCCAAAAAAAAUUUAAGUGAUAAAGUCUCAAAAGAGGUGUGUUAUUUGCUUUUUGGAUGAUCUUCUGAAAAUUCUCUCAGAUGGAAACUAUUUUGAAGUUUGUAUUGCAUUUUUCAAAAUAGUUUCGUAAGGUAUAUAAACUCAUAAGAGUUUUAAACCACCUCAUAUCUAUUAGUAUCAUGUCAAUUUAGUCACAAUGUCACAUCAGUAUAUUUAACAGUUAAAUUUAACAGUGUUAAAAUCAACAAAUUAACAAAAUAUAAAAACUUAAUUUACACAAAUUAUUAUACAGAGACUAAAUCUACUGACGUGAUAAAGUCUCCAAAGAGACAAAAUCUUGAAGUGAUCCUCCCAAAAUUCUUCAAUGAGAGACAAUAUCUUGGAGUUUGCCAACAAAAUCUCUAAAAUAUUUUUUUAAAGUUAAGUACACUCAUUUUAAAAGAAGAGAAUCAUUUCUUUUUAAUUUAUAUUUUCACAAAAAUGGUGUCUACGUCAUUGUACAAUUCAUGAUUCUCAUAAUUCGCAAUGCGUAAUGAUCAAGAAUAGCUAUAGACAUCCCCUUUUAUCCAAAAUUGUUUAUUGUAAAUUUUUUAUUAAUCAACAUUAGUUCAUUAUUGAUUAGUCCAAUUUUUAGCUUUUUUAGAUUAUUUUUAUUUGAGCUUUAAUUAUGUUGGAAUGAGCUUAACAGGUCACUUAAGUUUAGGGUUGGUGUCUAAAAUACAAGCUUAAGGUCCAAAGUGCAAACUUAGGGUACAAAUUGAAAUGAAUCAAUACAAAUAUAUAUAUAUAUAUACCCAAAAUAACCAAAAUAAAAAUUUAGUAAAUAAAAUGUAAAUAAAAAUAUAAAAAAAUCAAAAGGGAAACAUUUCAUCUUGCAUUACCAGAUUUGAUUCCACAAAAUAAAGAUAAUAAAAGCAAAAAACAAAGCAGGAAAAAUCAACAAAAAGGAAAGAUAUAAAAAAUAAAAGCCAUAAUAUCUUAAAAAGUCUUUAAACUAUUUAAGAAAAUUCAAAUAAACCCUUAUACUUUUAUUGCGUUAGAUCAAACUUUUAUACUUUUAUUUUGAGUCAAAUAAGCCUUUAUAACUAAUGGUUGACUUAGUCAAAAUAUCACUUGUCAUUUUAUAACAUAUUUCAGUAACAUGGCACUAACGUGAUAUGUUGACAUGUCAUAAUACAUGAUGACAUGGUAUGUUAAUGUGACAUGAUGACAUGGUCAUAUCACACAUGGACAUAAAAUGGUAGUGGAUGUUUUGAUUAUUGGCAAUUAGUCAACCAUUAUUUAUAAGGGCUUAUUUAAAUUUUCUUCAAAAAUUUAUGAAUUUUUUUUAGCAUUAUGGCAAAAUAAAAAGAGGAAGAGAUCAAAAUUACACAUUAAUAAAUCACCUACAAUAUUAUUAAAAUUAUUGAUGUAAAAACUCUUCCCUCUUCGAAAAAAGAAACAUCUCUCCCUCUGUUGCUAAUAAAAAUUUUUUGCAUUUUCAAAAGUAUGGUUCCAACUGGAUUCUAUAGUAGUUUCUCACCAUGCAUUUUUAGAGAUCAAAACGCUUGUUAAAUGUCAAAAAUCAAAUUCUAUUUUUAAAUCUAAUGCUUUAUUUCUUUUUUCCAAAUAAAGCUUAGGAUUGGUUUGGAUGGAAGUUUGAGUGUUCUGACAUGUGCUUGCAAAAAGGCAAUAUUAGAUUCAAAAAGGGUUUUCUUUGGUAUUUUGGAAUUGCUCUUAUAACUUUAAAAUUUAAGCAUUUGUUAGUGUGUAAAAAGGGUGUAUAAACACUUAUCCUUUGAGCAAUUAAGAUACUAAUUUUCGAAUGAGUUGAUAAAUUAAGGCAUUUAAUUUGGAAAAAUCUGGAAAUUAAUUAUGCUUGAUUUAUUAAUACUUACUAUUAUAUUAUUUACUAUUGCUUGCUGAUGUACCCACACAAUUUGUCAACUAGUUUUUCUUAUGUACGAGUAGACCUGUCAAAAUGGGCCGGCCCAUUUUUCAUUAAAUAUGGGGUGGGUUGGGUUGAAAAAAUUUUGGCCCAUAUUUAAACUGGGCCUAGAUGGGCUAGCCCGGUUGCUUAGGUGGUUGACCCGGGUUGGGGCAGACCAGCUCGACAGGCCACACAAAAAAAAAAAAACCUACGGGCUGUGGGUAAAGGGACUAAUCCUUUUGGGAUCUAGGUUCUCCUAAGUCCUAACUGCCUGCUGCCUAAGCCUAACACCCGCCCGAGUCUCGACCCUCUACAUCUAGCAUUCGACUGACGUCCUUCCUCCCAUCUAGCGUCCCAUCCUCCUAUCCGGCGUCCUCCUUCCAUAUGGCAUCUGACCAUCAUCCAUCAGAAUCGGUCGAGCAUCUGGCAUCAGCCAUUUCUCCUUCUCGCCUGUCAUGGUGUCACCUGUCGGUUUCAUUGCUCCUAUCCGGCAUCUAGCCAUCACCCAUCGGCAUCGGCGACCCAUCACCUAGGCCCAACAACCCAAGUGAGUCACUUCACGGUUCUCGCUUUCUCACCUGUCGGAUCGAUUUAGGUAAUCUUUUCUCCCAUCCGGCAUCAUAUUUAACAUUACUUGAGAAAAUUAAACUUUGCUUAGUUUUCAUUUUCAAUGAAUUUGUUUAGUAUCAUUGUUGUUUCUUUUUUUCUUUUGCCAGAAAAUUAAUCUUUUUUUCAUUGUGUGGGAGUUGGCAUGAUUCGAGUGGAUCCAGACUUGUGCUUGAAAUAAUACCUGUUCUUCUGCCAUUGUUUCUCGGUCUCAACUUGAUGACAGUAAUAAGUAACCAAAUGAAUGCUUGCAAUACUUGUUAACUGAUAUUUAUAAAAACAAAUGUUUUGUAGAAUACCCGUUUUGUUAAUCAUAUUCAUACCCUCGAUUACAUAGUAUACUAAAAAUAAUGAACACAAACAACAUGCUUUUAGUUUGUUAAUAAUGUCUGGCAGCUGUAUACUUCAAAUUGUCACCAACUUGAAUCCAUGUUCCUGCUAAACUUAAUCAAGAAAAAAGAUUACUUUUAUGUGUGAGAAAAGUCACUAAUGAGAAAAGAUGUAGAUCCUUGGUAGAACCCCAAAUCCCAUAUCGUAAAACUAAAAGAGUAAACAGAGCAUUUUCUUAAAAGAUAAAUGUUUGCAGAAAGCAGGAUUACCCAACUAACUUUAGCUGUUUUUGUUAACACUUAAUACAGAUACAAAAAAUUGAUUACUAAUUUAAUAAACAAGGUAAGUCAGACAAAUGAUGCAACUAAUUUGGUCUCAUGUGAAAGGUCACAUGACACAUGUUAUCUAAUAUUUGAGGAUUCCAGAAAAGUCCGAGAAAUGUACUACUCAAUUUAGUAUCACAUGAUGAGUUGCUUCUAAGUUCCAACCCAUUAAACAACAAAGAAAAUGAAUAAGAAUUAUAAUAUAUCUAAACAAGAAACAUAAUUAUUUGCACUAUUUUCCCAAUCUUCUUAUUUAUUAACUAUAAUUGUGGGCAUUUAAAUUAAACUUGUAAUUUCAUUUAUAUUUAUCUAUUUUACAACAAAACUGCAUAUAGGCGAAAAAAAUGAAAUGAAUUCUCUAUUUUAUUGCUUGAAGUUGUUUGUAAAUAUUGUUUUAAUCUGUAAAUUUUAUUGUCACAAAACAAGUUGUAGGAUUUAUAUGGUCUUCUCUGAUUUUUUAGGGUGAAAUGGAACCUUGGGGAAACUGGCCCUCGUAUUCUGGUAAAUUUCUUUUUGCAUACUAUAAAAAACACAAUGAGAUUUUAGUUUUAAAUGCUUAUCUCUGCUUGCAAUUCCUGCAAAUUAUAUUAGCUUUAUAAUUUACUAGAGAAUGAAUAAAAUUAAAUCUACAAGAUGAAUAUGAUAGUUUAUGUAAAUUUUUAAUAAUUUUUAUUCAUAUUUAUGUUAUGUGAAGGUAACGGUGAUGGAUCAAUCAGUUGAAAAUUGUAUAAAUGUGGAUGAUGAUGUGAACAUUUUGAAUAAGGAUGAAAUUCCUUCUCAAUCUCAUAUAUCUGAGUCUGAACAGUUGAAUAAGAGGGCCAAAAAAGAAACUUCAAAUGUUUGGAAUUAUUUCACUAAAAUAGGCAAAAAGCAAGAUGGAGUAGAAAGGGAAACUUUUAAUGGUUGUAAAACAAAGUAUAAGGUUGGCCCUAAACCUGGUGGCUCUAAUUAUUGCACUUCACAUUUGCGUCAUCACAUUGACACUUGUAAAUUCAUUUCCUAUUUUAAUCCACAUCAAAUGUUAAUGGAUUAUGAAGGGAAAGUAAAGGCUAGAAAGUUUGAUCCUAGGAUUUCACGUGACAUGCUUGCUGAAGCCAUAAUUAAGCAUGACUUGCCUUAUACUUUGGUUGAAUAUGAUAAGAUUAGAGAUUGGGCUAAGUAUGUAAAUCCAUAUGUGGUGAUGCCUUCUAGAAAAACUGUUGUAUCUGAUGUCUAGAGAAUUCAUUUGAGAGAGAAAGAGAAACUUAAACAAGCUAUAGCCAAGGUACCUAAUAGAAUUUGUUUGACUUUUGAUGUAUGGACAACAUCUACUUCUGAGGGCUAUUUGUUUGACUGCUCACUUUGUCAAUGAAAAUUCGAAGUUAUGUAGCAAGUUGCUUAACUUUUGUCGUAUGCCUCCUCCACAUACUAGAGUUGAAUUAGCUGCUACUGUAUUUGAUUGUUUGAAAGAAUGGGGAAUAGAUAGAAAAGUUUUCUCUCUCACUUUAGGUAAUGUUUCUGCUAAUGAUAACAUGCAAGGUAUCUUGAAAGGCCAUCUUCAUUUGCAAAGUAGCUUGAUUUCUGAUGGUGAAUUUUUUCAUGUACGUUGUUGUGCUCAUAUAUUGAAUUUGAUUGUUCAAGAGGGCUUGAAAGCAGUCAAUGAAGCAUUGUUUAAAAUUAAGGAGAGUGUGAAAUAUGUAAAGGCAUCGGAUGGGAGGAUGAAAAAAUUUCAAGAAUGUGUUCAACAUGUUGGUAUUGAUGCAGGUAUUGGGUUGCAUUUGAAUGUGUCAACUAGAUGGAAUUCAACAUAUUUGAUGCUUGAAAGUGCAAUCAAAUAUCAAAAGGCUUUUGCUAGCCUUCAAUUUGUUGAUAGAACUUAUAAAUAUAAUCCAUCUGAUGAGGAAUGGCGGAGAGCAAUGAUAAUUUGUGAAUUCUUGGAGCCCUUUUAUGAGACCACAAAUUUGAUAUCUGGUUCAUCUUAUCCAACUUCCAAUUUGUAUUUCAUGCAAGUUUGGAAAAUUGAAUCGAUUUUAAAUGAGAAUUUGCAUAAUGAAGAUGAGGUUAUCAAGAAUAUGUGUCAAAGGAUGAAAAUGAAAUUUGAUAAGUAUUGGAAAGAUUAUAGUGUAGUGCUUGCAUUUGGAGUUGUUCUUGACCCAAGGAUGAAGCUUGAUUUCUUAAGAUUUUGCUAUUCUAAGAUUGAUACUUCUACUUGUGAUGAAAAGUUAGAAAAUGUGAAGACAAAGUUGUACGAGCUCUUUGAACAAUAUGCAAGAAGCACUUGUGCAUCAAGUACAUCUUCUCGUUCAACGAGUAAUUUGCCUAAGCAAGUUGGAGGGGGAACUAAACUAAAGGGAUCAAAGAUUUUUAGUGUAAGUUUUGUGUUUUUCCUUCAUCUUAUUACAUGAGAAUUUAUGUUACUUUAUUUAUGUUAUGAUAAUUAUUUUUUUUGUCAUGAAUUUAAAAAUUGUAGGAGUUCAAGAUGUUUCAAAAUGAAACAAUUUUUAUUGCUGGAAAGUUUGAGUUGGAUGUUUAUUUAGAUGAGGCAAAGCUUGAUUAUGAGGUGUUUGAAGAUUUGAAUGUGCUUAAUUAUUGGAAGGAUAAUGCUAAGCACUUUCCUGAUCUUUCUAUUAUGGCACGAGAUGUAUUGAGCAUUUCGAUUACUACAAUAGCAUCAGAGUCUGCUUUUAGUAUUGGUGGUUAUGUUCUCACCAAGUUUAGAAGUUCCCUCCACCAUGAAAAUGUUCAAAAGCUUGUUUGCACAAAAAAUUGGCUGCAUGGCUUUUUUUUAGCUGCCAAUGGCAUUGUUUAUUUUAUAUAUUUCAAUGUCUUUAAUCGUUAUUUGUUAAAUUAAUAAUUUUAGUUAAAAUCGAAACUCACUAUAUCUUUUUUUUCCAUGACAAUGAAUAUUAGAUGAUGAUUCAAAGUUGGAGACGUCAUUGCUGUCCAAACAAGACUCAAAUGUUUUGAUUGAGGAUGAAGAUUGAGAAGAAUAUAAAUUAGUCUUGAAGUUUAUAAAUAUUUGAUUAUGUACUUAUGUAGCUAUGUUAAUGGAAUUGUAGUUUAUUUAAUUGUGUUAAACAUUGAAAUUUUAUUUGUAUUUGAUGUAGUAUAUUUGCUUAUUUAUGUUUGGUGUAAAUUAUUUAUUUCUAACAUAUUUUUAUUAUUCAAUUUAUGUAUUAAAUCAUUGCAUAAUUUUAUUAAUAAAGAGUUAAUUUUUUUUUUGAAAAAUAUGAGUUGACUGAGCUCUGCCCAUGAGCUAGCAAGGGCUGGGCUAGGCUAGGGAUUUGCCAACCCGUAUAAAAUAUGGGCUGGCCCGAUCCAGCUCAUAUUUUUUCAACCCACAAGGACCAGGGCCGAGCCGACCCAUAUUGACAGGUUUACGUACGAGCAACUUUUGUUAUGAUUUAAGAGCCUUCUCUGGUAACCAUUUAAAUUUCUUGCAGGUUUAGUCACCCACAUAAAACAAAUUCUAAAACGUUUAGAAUAAUUUUUUCUUUCCUGCUGACCUGCGGUUUGGUCAACUGGUGUCAUUAUAUAUACAUAGACAAGAGAUUACACCAAAGGACACUAACACCGAACAGAAACACAAGCAGCAGCAUCAAGUCUAUGCUACAAUAUUCAUAAAGCAUACAAACACCAAAGAGGUGAACACCAACCAUCCCAAUAAUCAGAAACAAAACUGAAAAUCACCAGCAGCAAUGAAAGCAUGUCCAGAAAACUCCAUCAGCAGACCCGCAGAACCGGAAAAGAGAUGGUAGAACACCCCAUAAACCUGAGAGGCAUCAUUGAAUUUGCUGCUCGUAGUGUAUGCACGAAGGAAACCAACUUAAGCAACCGAUUUAAGGAAGCGAGUGAAGGUAGCAGCUUUAUCAAAGUCUCCUUCUUCGCGGGCUCGUAAGAUAUUAAACAUAAGAAUAAGCCGAAUCCGAUUGCAAGCUGUUUGCUUCAUAAUCACUUGAGUUUCCUCUCCGAGUUGAUCGCAUUGGCGUUUAACAUCUCCAAACCUUUCUCCUAAAUUUCGUUGCUCCUCUCUUAUGCAUCUUUGAUCUUCCCUUAUCUUAUCCAUUUCCGAUUUUAUUCGUUGGGCCCUCACUUUCAAACUCUUCAUUUUUGGUUUGAAAGUCUUCUUCCUAUAUGCUCAUCGCCAUUUUAUCAGCUUAAAUUUGAAGCUAAAGUGCUCAAAGAUAUAAUCUUGGAAUGUAUUGAGUGAAAUGCCAUGAAGACUGGAUUGUAUAUUUAUACCAAGUGAAUGUUAGAGAACGCGUCUCAAAGAUAUAAAAACGCCAGUGUUGUCUAGGAAUCGGGCGCCGCGGUAAGAGUGGCUGGGAACACUCUAUGAGGUAAGAUUAUUGUUAUGAUUGGCUGCUGAUAUUUCUAUGUGGAAUCUUUUCUUGGCUUUUCUUGGUUUUUCUUGCUUCACAAACUUUUUCAAAAACGGAAUCUUUCUAUGUGAGCCUAUGCUUUAUUUUGUAUCGAUAUAACUUUUCAGAAAAAUUUUCACUUCAAAGUGCUAAUCAUGCUUUGCUCCUCGUUUCUUCUUAUUAUAACUUUUUUAUAUUAUCUUAUUAUUAAAAUAAUAAAAUAUUAUUUGAUGUGAUAUUUGUCUUUGAAAUUAGAAAAGUUUUAAAAUUUAAUUAUUUUUUUAAUUUUAUAUAAUUGAGGAUAAAUUUGCAUAAUCAAUUAAAUUAAUUCAUAAAAUUAUAAUUAUUAAUUAAUUUAUAAUAUCUUUUAAUAUAUAUACUUUAUAUAUAUUAGAUUCAUUUAUAAAUAAUAUAAUUACUGUUAUAUAUAUAUAUUUUGUGUGCAUGUGUGUAUAUAUAUAUGUACUUUAAAUAUAAAUAUAUUUACUUUCUAUUUUGUGUUAACAUUACAAAAAUUAUAACUCAUAAAAUUAUUAAUUACAAUAUAUAUACCUUUGUUUAUAUAAACUUAUAACAUAUAAAUCUAAAAGAAAGUUAUGAGAUAAGUAUAGUUAAUUGGAUAAUUGGGUACCCAUGAAGAAGAUUUUAAUAAUUUUUUUAUCUAAUCGGGUAUUUAAAUGGGUUAAGGUAAUUAUAGGGUAGUGGGAAUGUAUUAGGGUUAGGAUUAUUGUAGUAAUUUUUAAAAUUAUUCAGAUAGUUAAAAAGGUUAGGGUAUUUAAUUUUUACUAAGGUUAAGGUUCGGGUAUCUCAAAAUUUAAGGAUACCCUACCUGUUAGCAUCCUUAAUUAAAUCCAGAUUCGAUAUUAUCUAUAUUUGUUUUUUGCCAAAAAAAAUAUUUAAGUGAUAAAGUCUUGAAAGAGGUGUACUAUUUACUCUUUAGAUGAUCUUUUGAAAAUUCUCUUACCAUGGAAACUAUUUUGAAGUUUAUGUUGACAUUUUUCAACAUAGUUUCGUAAGGUAUAUAAAGUCUUGGCUAAAAGAGUUGGGAAUCUUUAAAACUCAUAAGAGUUAAUUUUAAGUGAUCUUCCAAAAAUUCUUCAAUAAGAUACAAUAUCUUGGAGUUUGCAAACAAAAUUUCCAAAAUAUUUCUUUACAGAAAUAGAGACUUUAGUAUAUCGUUAAGAGUCUUAAAAGUUACGUACACUCAUUUGAACGAAGAGAAAUAUUUCUUUUUAAUUUAUGUUUGUUCACAAAAAUGGUGUCUGCAUCAUUAUGCAAUGCAUGAUUCUCAUAAAACAAUAUGCAAUGAUUAGGAGUAACUAUAGACAUCCCUUUUAUUCGAAAUUAUUUAUUGUAAAUUUUUUAUUAAUUCGCAUUAGUUCAUUAUUAAUUAGUCCAAUUUUUAGCUUUUUCAUAUUAUUUUUAUUUGAGCUUUAAUUACGUUAAAUUAAACUCAACAAGUAAAUUAAGUUUAGGGUUAGUGUCCAACAUACAAACUUAGGGUCCAAAGUGCAAACUUAGGGUUCAAAUUGAAAUGAAUCUAUAUAUAUGUAUAUACCCAAAAAUAACAAAAACUAAAAAAUCAGUAAAUAAAAAUAUAAAAAUUUAUAAAAAAUCAAAAGGGAACAUUUCAUCUUGCAUUAACAGAUUUGAUUCCACAAAAUCAAGAUAAUAAAAGCAAAUAAAAAAUCAGGGAAAAUCAAGGAAAAAUAAAGAAAUAAAAAAUAAAAGGCCUAAUAUCUAAAAAAGUCUUUAAACUAUUCAAAAAAAUUCAAAUAGGCAUUUAUACUUUUAUUGUGUUCAAACAAGCCCUUAUACUUUUAUUUUGAGUCAAAUAAGCUCGUAUAACUAAUUGUUGAAUUAGUCAAAAUGUCACUUGUCAUUUUAUGUUAUAUGGCAUUGACAUGGCACUAACGUGGUAUAUUGACAUGUCAUAAUACAUGAUGAUUUGGUAUAUUAAUGUGAUAUGUUGACAUGGUCAUAUCGCAUUUUUCACGCUCUAUGUCAGCACCACAUGAAUAUAAAAUGAUAGUGUAUGUUUUGAUUAUUGGCAAUUAGUACACCAUUAUUUAUAAGAGCUUAUUUGACAUAAAAUAAAAGUACAAAUGCUUGAUUGAACAAAAUAAAAGAAUAAAGGCUUAUUUAAAUUUUUUUUGAAAAGUUUACAGAUUUUUUUUACCAUUAUGACAAAAUAAAAAGGGGAAGAGAUCCAAAUUACACAUUAAUAAAUUACCUACAAUAUUAGGAAAAUUAUUGAUGUAAAAACUCUCCCCUCUUCAAAAAAAGAAACCUCUCUCCCUCUAUUGCUAAUAAUAUCUUUUUGCAUUUUGAAAAGCAUGGUUUUAAUUGGAUUCUAUGCUAGUUUCUCACCAUGCAUUUUUAGAGAUCAAAACGCUUGUUAAAUGUCAAAAAUCAAAUUCUAUUUUUAAAUCUAAUGUUUUAUUUCUUUGUUCCAAAUUAAGCUCAGGAUUGGUUUGGAUGGAAGUCUGAGUGUUCUGACGUAUGUUUGCAAAAAAGCAAUAUUAGAUUCAAAAGGGGUUUUUCCUUGGUACUUUAGAAUAGCUCUUAUAACUUUAAAAUAUAAGCUUUUGUUAGUGUGUAAAAAAGGUGUAUAAACCCUUAUCAAUGUGUGAACAGAUCCUUGGAGCAAUUAAGAUACUAGUUUUUGAAUAAGUCGAUACAUUAAAACAUUUAAUUUGGAAAAAUAUGAAAAUUAAUUAUGCUUGAUUUAUUAGUACUUAAUAUUAUAUUAUUUACUAUUGCUUGCUGAUGUAGCCACACAAUUUGUCAACCAGUUUUCUUAUGCAUGAGCAACUUUUGUUAUGAUUUAAGAGCCUUCUCUCAUAACUAUUUAAAUAUUGAUUAAUUUCUUGCAGGUUUAGUCACCCACCUAAAACAAAAUUCUAAAAGAUAGAUCUCUCAAGUGUUCGCAGUACUCCCUUAUUAGAAUAACUAGAAUAUUACCCGUGUGCAACAUACGGACCUCUUUAUACUCCUCUCUUUUGCUUCAACGUCUUUUCUCUUUUCACUCUAUUUGCCCUUCACGUGGUUCACUCUGACGCCUUUGCACCCCUCUCUUUCUCUCUCUUUGCUUCAACAUCUUUUCUCUUUCACUGUCUCUGCCUUCCACACAGUUAACUCUGGAACCCUCAGGCUUUUUUUUAUGUAUGUUAUAAAAGUCACAACUUUCCACAUAGCAGCUUAGGGGAACAAAAACGUGGCCAAAUAUAGAGCCAAGUUUAAAUCUUCAAAUUAUUUCUUUCUUGCUGGCCAUCGGUUUAGUCAACUGGCCCAUCCAAGAAAGGAAAACAGAUUACACCGGAAGACACUAACACUAAACAGAAACACAUGCAGCAGCAUCAAGUCUAUACUACUCAUAAAGCAUACAAACACCAAAGUGGUGAACACCAACCAUCCUAAUAAUCUGAUCUUGAUAACUAGAACAGAAACCAAACUGAAAAUCACCGGCAGCAAUGAAAGCAUAUCCAGAAAACUCCAUCAGCAGACCCCCGGAUCUCAACAUUCACAAACCAGAAAAGCAUAAGAAUAAGCCAAUCUGAUCAUUGAUUUCGCUGCUCGUAGUGUAUGCACGAAGGAAACCAAUUUAAGCAACCAAUUUAAGGAAGCGAGUGAGGGUAGCAGCUUUAGCAAAGUCUCCUUCUUCGCGGGCUCCUAAGAUAUUGAGCAUAAGAAUAAACCGAAUCCGAUUGCAAGCUGUUUGCUUCAUAAUCACUUGAGUUUCCUCUCUGAGUUGAUCGCAUUGGCGUUUAACAUCUCCAAACCUGUCUCCUAAAUUUCGUUGCUCCUCUCUUAUGCAUCUUUGAUCUUCCCUUAUCUUAUCCAUUUCCGAUUUUAUUCGUUGGGCCCUCACUUUCAAACUCUUCAUUUUUGGUUUGAAAGUCUUCUUCCUCAUGCUCAUCGCCAUUUUAUCAGCUUAAAUUUGAAGCUCAAAGAAAACUAAAGCUGAAUGAGUUGGAGAUUUAAUCUUCGAUUGUGUUGAAUGAAAAGCCAUAAAGACUGGAAUAUAAAUAUACAUCUAACAAGUUACUGUUAGCGAACCGCGUCUGGUGUUCGGAGGAAAAACAAUAGAAUAAGGAAGAUGAAGAGAAACCGGAGUGAAAGGAGGAAGAAACAGCAGUUACAUAAUGAGGCCAGCAAUCGAACGAUUUUCAAGUGUUAAUAUAUUCCCAAGUGUAAGCGUCGCUCGGUUUCUCAAGUGUUAUCGAGCGAUUCCUUUUGUUAUGACUGAAUGAAACACAAGACUAUCGGUUUGGCUGACAUCCACUUAAUAUAUUCUCGUGGUCCCACACUGUUACUGCAAAAGUAUUUUAUUACGUCACAUACUUUUUCUUUGUGUAUUAUUUAUAUUAUUUUAUUCCUGAUAGUAGUGUUAUGUAAUAUGUAUUAGGAGUAAGAAACAAGAAUGAGGUCACCGCAAAGGUACUCCGUUAAAUACUUCAAAAAAAGGGAUAAACAAAGGUCUUUUAAAUUAAUUAAACUUCACCAUCAGCUUUUUUCAAUCAUUUGCAUGGUAUAUACAAAGACCUUCACAGCGAAUGAGAUUACACAAAUUAAAAUUGUUCAUAUAGAGAUUAUUGAAAGUUAAAGAGGGUGCAAAAUUACACAUAAUAUGUCUCCCCAUUCACAUAAUUGUUCAUAAUAUGUCUUAUCGAGCGAUUGCUUUUGUUUUGAGAGAAUGAAACACAGAUUAUUAGUCUGUUUUUAUUAUAGUGUUUCUACUAUAGUCUUGUGUGACUGGAAGUGACAGAUUAUUGGUGUGGUUGUUACAUCGAUUUAAUAUUCUCGUGGUCACAGCGUUAUGAUUUGCUUCUCAUAUUUUCUAGGAACUUCAUUUUCUUGGCUUUUGUGGCUGAAUAUGUCGUUCAAUUCACGUCACACUUAAACUUCAAAUACAAAGGUCAGUAAAGUCUAUUAGCAAUUCACGCCAAAGACAAGUUCUAGAAACCAAUAGAAACAAGGCACAUAAACGACAGAAUUAGAGAUGAAUGGAUUUCGUUUAAUUCCAACAAAUCCCUCCGUCAGAUUAAUUAGUUUUCAAUCUUCACCAUGCAAGCAUCUUCUAGAACUUGUAGAUCACAUCACUCUUUAAUGGCUUUGUAAAGAUAUCUGCAAGUUAGUCUUUAAACUAGCAAACUCCACCUCAAUCUCAUGGUCUUUUACCAAAUCCCGACAGUAGUGAUGUUUGUACGCAUUUCCUUCCACUCUUCGUUCUCUCUCAAAAAGCAAUGUAAGUCUGUUUUAUUAUUUUAGUUUUGAGUUGAGCUUAUUUUUUCUCUUUGCAGUUGGUAUGAGUUGUUAAUGUUUAUUUGGGUAUGUUUCACAUUAUUUUGCUGUUGGCAAUUUUUAGUUAUAGUUGCAUUUUCCGAAUGGUUGUUUUUGCAUAUUGUUGUUUAAUUUUCUACUCACGCAAGUGUACAUAUUGCAAAGGUAAUAUAGAGAUGAGUAGAGUGUCGAUUCCACAGAGAAUUGAAUUAAUCCUUGCAGUUAACUACUAAAAUUAACACACUUUAACUUUAUCUAGACAAUUAAAAUUAAAAAAGAAAAUUUAAAUUAAUAAACUAAUAACAAAAACUAAUCUAUUCAAAUUUACUUUAUUAAAUGUGAAUGACUACCAGAUCUAAGAUUAGAAUAUUUCUCAAUACUUUAUCUGAUUAUUAUCUCUCUCUUAACCUAGUUUAAUGGAUUAAGUUGGUAACCUAGAGUCCUAAAUUAUUUACAAGUCUCUAUCGAGUUUUUUAUAAAAAUAUCUCUCUCAAUUAAUUUACUAUAUGUCUAUACAAAUUAUAUUGAAGAAAGAUUCAUUAAGUUUAUGCUCUAAUCCUAGCUACGUAUGGUUUAUAGGUGUAUUUCUACCCUAUAUGCAAAUCAAAUCACCUAAUCAACUAAGUGUAUUCGAUCAUACGCUAUUCUAUUCAAGAUCUACCUAAAUCUCCUUUGUCAAGGUUUAACUUAGAUUUCCAAUUCAAUCUAAUUGGUGGCCAGUCAACUAGAAGCAUUAAGAACAGAAUAAAAUAAACAACUUAAAUCUAUCAAACAUAAGCAAAAAAGAGAUAAAUAAUUCAGACUACAUAUUGAGUUCAAUCAUAAUCUUAGAUAAAAAAUUUAGUUCCCUAUCAAGUCACACAUUAUUAUUGAAUAAAAUCUAAACAUUAAAAACAAAACUAAGAAAAUAAAAGAAUAAAAAAAAAUAUAAAAAAACUCAAGAAUUGUAUUCUUGAUCUCCAAAUCUCCUUGAAUUUUGCAAAUUCUUUUUAGCUUCAAUGACUCUAUGGCUUGACUCUUAGCUGUUAAUCUGAUGUUUCUUCAUUCUCUUUUUUUCUCAUCUGAAAGGUUGUUUUUAUAGGCUUUGAAGUUAGGCCAAGUUGGGUGAAGAAAGAAGUCAAUUUCAACUAUGAUUUUUAUUGGCUCCAUUAGUUUUUUAUGAUAAUAAAACAUUCCCAUUCAUUUGUGUCUAAUGCCUUUACUUAAGUGUGCAGGAAAAUUAAUGUAUAAAAUUAAUAAAUCAAUCUUUUAAAAUACAUAUCAAAAGAAAAAGGGAGAUAAAGAUAAAGAGACAUGACUGCUUAACAAGGAGGAAGCUCAUUAGUUGAAUAAGGAAGAAUGUUGGUUGGCCAAGAUUCAAAAUGGAGAAAUGGUAGGCUGAAGAAUAUUGAGAAAUAGAACCAACUUAGUCGACCAAGAAAUAGACUAGUCGACUAAGUGCAUACUGCUAGAAACAGGGAGUAGAAAACAGAGACGAUUUAAUCGACUAAGAUAUUGGUUAGUCGACCAAGAGCAUUCUGGCUGCAAGUUUGAAAGCUGCACUAAAAGACAGAGUAACGGCUAGAACUGACCCUCAACUAUCUCCAACGGCUAAAAAACUGUCAGACUGCCAUCAGAGUUGUUUCUCUAAGUAUAAAAGGGUCUUCCAAUGGUUAGAAAUUAGUUUUUGAGAGAAUUAAAAGCUUCCAAGUGAUAUAGAGCUGAAAAAUUAGAAAAUCUUCUCUGCAUUUUGCUUCACUUAAACGCCCAUCUUUUGUUAUUAUAUUCUGCACUCAACCUUGUACUAUUUAGAUCAACUUAUGAUCAUAGGUACUUUCUUUUAUUUCUCUUAUUGUAUUCUUAGAGUGAGAGAGUUACUCUAAGUGGUUGUUUCAAGCUAGGUUUGCUUGAAUGUGUUAAGGUUCUAACUUAGCCUUGAAAAGUCAGUUGGUGAGUUUUAGUUUAGCCUGUGCAAAACUAGUGUUAAAGGUUUUGACUGAGUCUUGUAAAAGCCAUUGUAAAGCUUGGUGAAAGCUUGUGAAUUUCACUGGUUGUUAAUGGAUUGUUUGAAAAAUCCUUCGUUGGAUAAUCAAGGUAGUAGAUGUAGGUCUUGGACCUAGCCACUAUAAAUUCUACUGUCUUGUUUACUCUAUUUUGUUUCAUUUUCUUUCCUUCAUUUGUCUCAACUUUAUCUAGACUUACAGACAAUUUUUGAAAGAGCCAAAUUAUGCUAUUCACCCCCCUCUAGCACAUAUUAUUGGGACCAACAAUUUCCUCAUCAAACUAUGUAGUCGCAGCUUUGCCCAAUUAAUUAACAGAAAUCAUAAUUGCUCUAGAAUUGUUGCAGUAUAUCAACUUCAAUAAGAUUUUUGACCAUAUUUCAGGCCAAACUAGGUGAAGUGGUAAUAAUAAAAGUUGUAGAUUUUUCUCUUAUCUUUCCAAUAGUUUAAGAAUCGCUUCAUUUAGAACUCUAUAGAGAAAGUUAUGGCUGAAAUACCGAAACAUGUGAAGUGUAAGUUAGUACCUUGAAAUUGCUCUCUUUCUUUUACUAAAAUUCUUCUUUCAAACACCUACAAAAGCACAAAUAAAUCAAUAACAACCUAUCUUGAUCAUAUUAACACCAAAUUAAGUAUAAAUUAAUCAUAAUUAGAUUGACUUACCUAAAAUAACUAAUUUAAAAUAAUUAAAUAAAAUCUACUAAUUUUUAUGCAUUACUACAAAAACUAAGCCAAAUCAUUAUUAAAAAUAAGCUCAAAUAACUCUACAUUAUAGAGUUAUCACAUAUUGUACAUACAAAUUUCUCGUCGAAUUUCUUGACUUGAAAAAUUAUGACACAAAUAUAAAAUAUUUUGAUGUGAGUUAUAAUAUUUGAAAAUUCCUCUGAUUAAUUUCUUCACUUCAGCCUUAAGAGUCAUGAACUCGGACUUAGUCUUGAUCACGAACUAAACUUGAUAUCUUCGCUUCAAAGGGCUUGACGACUUGAUUUUGAUUACGAACUAUAUUUGAUAUCUUCACCUCAAGGGUCUUGAUAACUUGAUCUUGAUAGUCUUGGUUACGAGCUAAACUUGAUAUCUUCACUUCAAACAUCUUGACGACUUGAUCUUGAUCACAAACUAUAUUUGAUAUCUCUGCCUUAAGGGUCUUGACAACUUGAUCUUGAUCAUGAACUAUGUUUGAUAUCUUUGCUUCAAGGGUCUUCACGACUUGAUCUUGAUCAUGAACUAUACUUGAUAUCUUCACCUCAAGGGUCUUCACGACUUAAUUUUGAUGUCAAGCUCAACUCUAUUAUAUACUUGCCAUGUCAUUCAUGUAUUUGAUAGCAUAUCUAUAUACUUGGAUGCCUCAAAAAAUCGUUAAAAAGUUGGUAUCGUACCUAAUGGUACAAUUAAGUUGAUUAAAGCCUCGAACUAGUCCAAAUAGAGAUUUGAAGAUGUAUUCGAGAGUUAUUGAAACUUAGAAUAUCUUAAUAUGGUGAUUCGGAGUUUGAUGAUUGAUUUGGAGUCCAAUCGGGAAUUUUCAUAACGUAAGGGCAAAAUGAUCAUUUUACCACCUGAGGGUAAAAUUGCAAUGUUGGAUGAAAUUUUUGACUAAGUUUGACUAAUUGGAGCAUGAUUUAAAUUUGAGAAAUGAACAAUUUUAAUUUCGACAUUUUUUCGAACAUAAGGGCAAAUAGUCAUUUUACGUGUCCAUAAGGGCAUAAUUGGAAUCUUUAAAAAUUUGCACCACCAUGACACUUGUCCAACCCAUAAACUUCACCCAUUAUCAUUUUGGCCCAUGGAUAAUUUUGUGGUGGUGAGAGAAUGCUUAAUUGUUAAGUGUUAAGCAUGAACCAAUUACAUGGUGACACGUGGUAAAUUUUAAUCCUUUUAUAAUUCCCUUUAAAAACCAGCACACACUCCUCCCAAAUCAUUCUCUCUUGGCCGGCCAAAGCAAAAAACAAAGAGAAAAGAAUAGAAACAAACCCUAGAGAGGAAAAUUUAAGAGAAACUUGUUGAAUUUCAAAGAACAAAGCAAUCAAAAGUAAGAUUUUUCAAUUUUAGCUUAAGAUCUACCUUUCCCAUGCUCUCUUUUUCAUUUUCCAUAGUUGAAACUCAAGAUUUCAUGAAGGAAAGUUUGCUAGCCGAACCUAGGGGGAGAGGUUUUGAUCACGGGUUUUGUUAGAUUUCAUGCUACAUACUCGUUUUUAGUUGUUUUGUGAUACUCGGUGUGAAAAACAAGCAUGAAAACCACAUGUUCUUCAUCAAACCCUCCUUGGCUGAAUUUACUAAAGGACAUAUUGAUGAUGAAUCUUGUUAUAUCUCAUGUUAUUUAACUCGUAUUUGAUGAAUUGUGGUGUCGGAUAUUGAAAACGGUUAUGAAAACGUAUAGUUCCUUUAGUGAACGAUUUGAACAAUAAUAAGUAAAUCAUAGUAAAUGGACUUGGAUUUGAUUUCUAAUGAUAUAGAUGGAUUUAUUGGACUAUGUUGACAUUGAUUAGCAUGUUAGUUCGGAAUCAGAAUGAAUUUCGGUUACGAUGAAUUAAGUCACAAUCAAGCUCAUUAAGGUACCUUGGUGUAUUUGGAAUAUUGGAAGUGUAAUGAAUAUAUUUGAAGUGGAAUUGGAUGUUUUGGUUAAUUCAACAGCGUAUAGUUCGAGUUAGGUCGAAUGCAAAUUCAAACCGAUCAAAAUUGAACUCACGUAGAAUACCAUCUUUAAGUGAUUAUUUGGACACUUCUCAUUCCAUUUCAUGCAUUCAUGUAGAGCCUGAAAUACUUUUAUAAUAGAAUGGGACAAAUAUAUUGAAUUACUUGUCGUGUAUUAUGUAUAGGUGUUGAGCCCCCUAAUAAGGGUAAAGAUAUUAUACCCGAGGACCAAGAAUAAGAGUACUCCAAACUCUCGUUAUUGUGAGUGAUCAGACUUUCAUCUUAACUAUCUAAAGUAGUUUAUACUCGUUUUUAUGUUUUAAAGAAAAAUGAGUUUAAAUUGUAAGUUAUUAUGUUUUAAAAGUGAAGUGUUGGUUAAACGAAAUGAGAUUUAUAACUAUUUUGAAAUUAAAUACUGGUUUUGGAAAUUGAGUAAGUGGAGACUGUAUACUCAUGUUAUAUAUAUAUAUGUUUUGACAUAUGGUUUGAAUUGAUGGCUUAUGACAAUGUGGUGGCAAGCAUGGUUAGAUUUCUGUUUGUGUGGAAUAUAUGAAUUGUUUUGCUUUGCCUUGACAAGCUGGGUAAUGCUAUAUUGGCCAUGUCAUGCUAUCGAAAUUUUUAUUAAUUUUGGGGGUUAUUUGAUUAGCUUACUGCAGUGGACGAGUUUCUGUGGACUAGCCUAUGAGAAGGGCAUGGUAAAUCCCGUUAUAUUUACCUUAAUACGAGAGGCGCGGAGGGUAUCUCCUAAGGUAAAGUUUAGAGUUCACUUCACCCCAAACCACCACGUGAAAGUGAAACUCAACCAACGCCAAGGAACGACUAUGUUUUUAAACGUGAAAACAUGUUUUAUGUGUAUAUGUUUUUUUAACUGCCUUGGCGGACUCGGUUGGAUGCCCGGCGCAAGGCAUCAUCGAGUACUAAUUUUUGGCACGAGCCAAAUUUUUACGAGAAUCAUUAGCCUUGUUGAUUUUUAUGAAAUGAAAUUGAUUUAUAUGAAAUGAAAUGAGAUUUGAUGUUAUGAAUCAUAUUAUGAUGAGAUAUUUUAAAUUGUCUCCGUUUACUCGGCUUUAGAUAUUAUAGAUGAAAUUUGCUUACUCACUGGGUUUAGAAAAACUCACCCCUUCUUUUCCCCCAUUUCAAGCUCAAGACAGUCUAUAGACAGUCAAUUUUGUCGAGGGUUGCUUUUGGAUUUGUAUCCUUAGAAAUCGAAAGUCUACAGUCUUGUACAAUUUCAGUUAUUUUGGGGGCCCACAUGUUAUUGUAGAAUAUUUUUGUAUACCUGGUUUAGUGCGCUAUUAUAUAUAUGAAUUUAUUUUGCUUUUACGCUACAAAAAUUAUUUAUGCACGAUUCUAUAAAUAUUGUUUUAUAAGAAAAUAAAAUAUUUUAUUUAAUAUUUUUAUUUAGUUUGAUUAGCCAUAAUUUCAUCUUAAAUGGAUAAUUUAGAUUACUAAAAUUAUUCUUAGAUAAGAAAUGUAUAUUUUUUGAUCGUAUACUAUAUUUUCAUCAAGUUUCAAAAUUUUGGAUAAAAUGACCAAAAUACCCCUGUGCAGUAGAAAUUACUUUUUGAUCAUUUUUUAUUUGAAAAUAGUCUAUAUUCUUUUAAAUAUGAUAUUUAAUAACUGUUACUCACAGGGGCGGCAGAAAACUGAUGCAAUAGCCUUACGAGGUUUCAGUUGGCAUUCCAAGUAAGGAAUGUCUAUCGAGACAUCGCGGAGGGUUGUCAUGGGCUCGAAGAGAGUACCGGGUUGUGACACUUGACCAUGAACACUUGAUAUUUUGAUCAUGAACUUUGCUGCCGCCGGAUAUCUUGAUCACGAACUUUGUUUCUACUUGAUCAUGAACUUCGCUGUCGCUUGAUAUCUUCACUUUAGAAAUCGUCUACUUUUCUCAAUCUCUGAAAAGCUCUGAAUCUUCGAAUGCCUUCGAAUGAAUGCAAGUGGAUUGGAGGAGCCCCUUAUUUAUAAUGCUAGGUGGGAGACUUUGAUGAGAAUGUAGUCUCUUUGAAUUAUCUCUAAAUUAUUUUAAUUUAUUUAGAGAUAAAUUAUAAUGACUCAUUAAAAGUCUUUUGAUUGACAGGAUUUUGAGUCAUUAAAUUUUGAUUGGUCGAAGUUAAGUAUUAUCUCUAAAUCAUCUUAAUUUAUUUGGAGAUAAAUUAAAUAAUAAAAUUUGAUUUUUAUCUCUAAAUUAUCAUAAUUAUUAGAGAUAAAUUAAAUGACCAAUAAUUAAAUUUUGAUUGGUCAAAAAUAUGAUAUUAUCUUUAAAUUAUCUUGAUUUAUUUAGAGACAAAUUAGAUUAUCAAUAAUUAAAUUUUAAUUGUUCCAAAUUAAAUAUUAUCUUCAAAUUAUCUCAAGGGAUAAAUACAUGACAUAUUAGUGAAUUAGUUCAACUAUGUGUCUUUGAAAUAAUCUAACGAAUAAAUUAAUUAUUUUAAAAUUAAUUAUAUGGUUAUGAUAUCAUCAAGUCCACAUUGCAGCACGUAAUUGGAUCAUAACUUUUUUUCUUCUACAAAUGCCCCUCAAGACUUGUUCACAUAUGAUUUUGAAUGAAGCAAGUGGACAAGUCUUGAAAUUUUAAAAAAUUUCUGGGAUUUCUUAGAAUCCUAGUAUGUCUUGGUAUACUUGCAAGCCAAGUUAAAUUUGAAUUAUACUUACCCAUAGGUAAGAGAAUUAUGAUCUUGGAAGAUGUAUAUUGCAAUAAACCUAUAGGAAGAACUAUAUUGUAGUUGGUAUUACAUUUUUUAGUCAACAAAGGCUCUCUCUUUUAACUCUAUAAAAGGGAAACUCCCUCGUUAAUUUUCUACACAUCGAAAUCAAUUUAAGAAUUGCAGGUGUUCCAUAAGCUAGUAAAAAAAUUCUUCAAGAUAUGCCACCUUGAUAGUUUUUUUAUUCUAUCAAAUAAGUCCUCAUACUCUUAUUACGUUCAAUCGAGCCUUCAUAUUUUUUAUUUUGAAUCAAAUAAAUCCUUAUACUUUUAUUUUAAGUCAAAUAAGCAUUUAUAACUAAUAGUUGACUUAAUCAAAAUAUCAUUUAUCAUUUUAUAUCAUAUGGUAGUGACGUGACUAACGUGACAUGUUGACAUGUUAUAAUAUAUUAUGAUAUGGUCAAAUCGUAUUUUUCACGCUCUAUGUCAGCACCACAUGGACAUAAAAUGAUAGUCGAUGUUUUAAUUAUUGACAAUUAGUUAACUAUUAUUUAUAAAAGCUUAUUUGACCCACAAUAAAAGUACAAAGGCUUGACUGAACAAAAUAAAAAAAUAUGGGCUUAUUUAAAUUUUUUUGAAAAAUUUACGAAUUUUUUUUAGCACUAAGGCAAAAUAAAAAGGGGAAGAGAUCCAAGUUACACAUUAAUAAAUCAAUUACAAUAUUAUGAAAAUUAUUGAUGUAAAAAUUCUUCCCUUUUCAUAAAAAUUAUUAUGAAAAUUUGUAAUAAAUCAAUUAUAUUUUAUUAGGAUCUCAGCCAACGUGAAGGGGAACUCAGCCAACGUCAAGGAACGGCUGUAUUUUUCUCAAACUAAAAUAUAUUUUAAGUGUAUACAAAAUUUUAACAGCCUUGGCGGACUCGGUUAGAUGCCCUGCGCAAGGUAUCACCGAGUAUGAGUUUUGGCACGAGCUAAAGUUUUAAGAAAUUCAUAAGCCAAGUUGAUUACUCGAUUUUUAUGGAUUGAUUUUAUUUGGUUGAAAUGAGUUGAAAGGUAAUGAAAUUACAGUAUGAUGAUUUAUUUUAAUUGUCUCCAUUUACUCGAUUUUAGAUAGUUUAGAUGGUAUCUGUUUACUAACUGGGAUUUUAUAAUCUCACCACCCUCAUUUCCUCACAUUUCAGGCUCGGGGAAUUUCAUAGUUAGCUGACUUUAACAAGGACCUUCAUUUGGAUUCGAAUCGGUAAAAGUUGUAGGUUUCCAACUUCCGAUGCAUUUUGGAUAGAUGUGGGCCCACGUGUCACUGUAAAAAAAAUUUUAUGCUUUGGUUAUUUGUUUUAUAGUAUAUAUGAAUAUAAUUAUCUUUUACGCUAUAAGAAUUAUGUACCGAUAGUUUUAUGAAAAUUAUUUUACAAGAAAAUAGUUUAUUUUAUUGAAUAUUUUUAUUAUAUUCAAAUGGUCAAGUUUUCACUUCAAAUGAACGUUUUAGAUACUUAAUUUUUUUUAAAAUCAUUAAAUAUAUAUUUUUGGCUUACCUACUACAUUUUUAGCAAGUUUUGAGCUUUUCGACAAAAAUGACGAAAAUGCCCCUGUGAGCCAAAAAAAAAUAUGUUAUGUUAUGAUUUGAAAAUGAUUUGUAAUCCUUCGUAUUUUGAUUAUUUGAUAACUAUUGCUCACCGGGGAAGUGCGAAAGUUGAUACGAGAGCCUUGCGAGGUUUCGAUCGACAUUCGGAGUGAAGAAUGUUUGUCGAGGCUUCGCGGCGGUUGUCACGGGCUCGAUGGGGAGUUCCGGGUCGUGACAUUAUGGCUUUGUAUACUUCAAGUUUUUUACUCUUUUGCCUUUAGAUCAACUUGAGCUUCUCAAGAGUCGACUCCUAGACUUGUGCCUUAAGGUUGUCUUAGCUUUUUAGCACCUUUCUUCAACUAUAUUUUCUUUGCCUUGUUCCAACAAUCAAAUAAUAAUUCAUGGCAUGUUUACCUUUUGUUUUCUUAGUUGAAUAUGCAUUGUUUGAAAGCUUUUAUAAUAUUUUUUAAUGAUGCAUGGCUUUUUAAACAAUUAUGUGGUCUUAGGGGAUUAAAAAUAUAUUUGAGACAAUUUAAAAUGCUUGACAUUAAGUUCAAAAUAACAUGUAAUUUUUGUCAAAUUAAAGCAUGAUGUAACUCAAGGCUAACAUUGUUCCUUGACGUUUGAAAGACCUUAAUAACUUUAUCAACUAUGUUAAGAGGAAGAUUCCUAAAUGGUCUGUUGUGCACGUCCCCCGUUCUGGUAAUAUGUUAAUUGACCAUCUUGCAAAAGCUGGAGUCAAUCAUGCUCAUGGGCAAACCAUAUUGGAAGGAGUGGUGUCACAUGGCACCACUCACUUCUUAAAAUGUUUUAAUUUUUAUAUUAUUUAUUUAAAGUUUUGGGUAGUUAAUAUAGUAAUGAACCCAUGAAUUUUUUUUGCAAUUUUAUAAGGACGGGGGUCAAAUACUCCAAGUAAAAGUGAUUUAUCAAAAGGUAAUUUAUGUAUUUUGUAGAGGCUUAUAUUUAGUUUUAAUGAAUGAAUAGAAAAUUGUCAUUUCUUUAGUAACUGAAUUUGAUAAUUUGCUAUGUAAGAUUAUAUUUUAUUUAAUUCUAAUAUUUUAAUUUAUGCUAAUGAGUACUAAUUUUUAACAAGUUAUAUAAAUUUAGAUAAAUAAGUCAUGAAAAGAUAUUUUAAAAGAAAAAAAAUUAUCUCACAAGGCUUAGAUCUCGUACAAUAACAAAAUUCUACUAAUGAUGAUACUUAACAGUAUUUUUCUAAGUAAAAUUGUGUUGAAUUUGAUAUAAGUACUCUUUCAAUAGAUCUUGAAUAAAAAAAAAAUUUUGAAUAUCAUCCUAUUGAAUGACAUCACUUAAAAAAAUCCACCGACGCCGGUUACCAUCCACAAGUACAGGCCGUAAGGCCCUGUUGGUACGAGCAACUGCCAUUCCUUAUAUCAGUUAAGCCUUCAAACAGUCAUUCUUUAUAUAAUAUAUAUAAUUUUGGCAAGUGUUAAAAUUAUGAAUUAACUAAUAAAUAUAAUUUUUUUUUUGUGUAACUCAAUCACGUAAAUAUAUUUUCUGAUGGUAUAUAAAAAAUUGCUGCACAUUAAAGAAGAAAACAGAAAAAGUGAGAUAACAAUGUUAAUUACAUAAAUUAUGUUUGCUGCUUCUAUCAGAAACCAAUUUAAGGAAGUUGGAUUAAAUAGAUCUUUAUAAUUAACAGUUAAUUAAAAAUAAUUAAUCAAAAUGUAACAUUGACAUGAUGUUAUGUUAUUAUAUUACAUAACAUGCAACAUCAUCAUUCACUAUGACAUGUCAGUAUGACUCAUCGAUAUUACAUGACAUAAAAAAGAUAAGUAACAUUUUGAUUAAUAAUAGUUAAUUAACUAUUAAUUAGUUAUAAGGUAAAAAAAACUUAUUUAAAAUUUUUUUUAAGUAUUAUAUAAUCUACUUCUUAUUUGUUAAACAAUGUGUACAUCACUAUUAAUGAUUAAAUUAAUAGGAUGUCAUAGAUAGGAACUAAGCUAAAGGAAUUAAAAACGCGAAUGGAGAAGAGAUACAGUUCCGCUAAUAAAAUGGGAAUGCUUUUUUAGUGGUCGUUUUCAAUAUUGUAUUUCUUGGGUCACCGCCCUAACCGUCCUUCAAUUAUCUUUUGUAAAUUGACUUCUUAAAGUAGCAAGCCUUGACAAAAUUCAUUAUGCACCAAAAUGAAAGCCAUACGACUCCGUUUUUAUAUGCAAAUCCUAUUAUUCUUUAUGUUUUUUAAUGAAGUCUAAAUUUGAACAAGAGUAAUAAUUUUAACAAUGUACUUUUAGGUUGGUUAAAAAGAUUUAAAAAAACUAACAGUAAAAUGAAUAUUUCAAAAAAAGUAAAAAAAAAUAAUCUUUUUUCUUUGCAGUUAAUUUUUUUUACUAUUUUUUAAUCAAAUGAAAAGUAUAAUGUUAUAAUUACAAUACUUGAUUAAACAUUAAGAAUCCAUCACCCUAAAUAAACUGAUAAAUUUUGGAUUUUAUUAAGUUUGCUUUAUCAAAGUCUCCUUCUUCGUGGGCUCGUAAGAUAUUAAACAUAAGAAUAAGCCGAAUCCGAUUGCAAGCUGUUUGCUUCAUAAUCACUUUGAGUUUCCUCUGAGUUGAUCGUGUUGGCGUUUAACAUCUCCAAACCUUUCCCCUAUAUUUCUUUUCUCCUCUCUUGUAAUUUUUAAUUUUUUUCUUUCCUAUUUCUGAUUUUAUUCGUUGGGACCUCACUUUCAGACUCUUCAUUUUUGGUUCGAAGGCCUUGUUCCUCAUGCUCAUCGCCAUUUUAUCAGCUUAAGUUAUAAGAGUUUUAAACCACGUCAUGUCUAUUAGUAUCAUGUCAAUUUAGUCACAAUGCCACAUCGGCAUAUUUAACAAUUAAAUUUAACGAUGUUAAAAUUAAAAAUUAAAAUUAACAAAUUAACAAAAUAUAAAAACCUAAUUCACACAAAUUAUUUUAUAGAGACUACAUCUGCUGACAUGAUAAAGGCUCCAAAGAGACAAUAUCUUGAAGUGAUCCUCCCAAAAUUCUUCAAUGAGAGACAAUAUCUUGGAGUUUACAAACAACAUCUCUAAAGUAUAUUUUUAAAGUUACGUACACUUAUUUUAAAAGAAGAGAAUCAUUUCUUUUUAAUUUAUAUUUUUUCACAAAAAAUGGUGUCUAAGUCAUUGUACAAUUCAUGAUUCUAAUAAUACACAAUGUGUAAUGAUUAAGAAUAGCUAUAGACAUCCCUUUUUAUCCAAAAUUGUUUAUUGUAAAUUUUUUAUUAAUUCACAUUAGUUUAUUAUAGAUUAGUCCAAUAUUUAGCUUUUUCAGAUUAUUUUUAUUUGAGCUUUAAUUAUGUUGGAAUGAGCUUAACAGGUCACUUAAGUUUAGGGUUAGUGUCCAAAAUACAAGCUUAGGGUCCAAAGUGCAAACUUAGGGUUCAAAUUGAAAUGAAUCAAUAUAAAUAUAUAUAUAUAUACCCAAAAAUAAAAAUUUAGUAAAUAAAAAUAUAAAAAAAAAUCAAAAGGGAAACAUUUCAUCUUGCAUUACUAGAUUUGAUUCCACAAAAUAAAGAUAAUAAAAGCAAAUAAAAAAACAGGAAAAAUCAACGAAAAGGAAAGAUAUAAAAAAUAAAAGCCAUAAUAUCUUAAAAAGUGUUUAAAUUAUUUAAAAAAUUCAAAUAAACCCUUAUACUUUUAUUGCGUUAGAUCAAACUUUUAUACUUUUAUUUUGAGUCAAAUAAAUUUUUAUAACUAAUAGUUGACUUAGUCAAAAUAUCACUUGUCAUUUUAUAACAUGUUUCACUAAUAUGACACUAACAUGAUAUGUUGACAUGUCAUAAUACAUGAUGACAUGGUAUGUUAAUGUGACAUGAUGACAUGGUAUGUUAAUGUGACAUGAUGACAUGGUCAUAUCACAUUUUUCACCACACGGACAUAAAAUGGUAGUGGAUGUUUUGAUUAUUAGCAAUUAGUCAACCAUUAUUUAUAAGGGCUUAUUUAAAUUUUUUUAAAAAAUUUAUGAAUUUUUUUUAGCAUUAUGGAAAAAUAAAAAGGGGAAGAGAUCCAAAUUACACAUUAAAAAAUCACCUACAAUAUUAUGAAAAUUAUUGAUGUAAAAACUCUUCCCUCUUCCAAAAAAAAAAUCUCUCCCUCUAUUGCUAAUAAAAAUCUCACCAUGCAUUUUUAGAGAUCAAAACGCUUGUUAAAUGUCAAAAAUCAAAUUCUAUUUUUAAAUCUAAUGCUUUAUUUCUUUUUUCCAAAUUAAGCUUAGAAUUGGUUUGGAUGGAAGUUUGAGUGUUCUGACAUAUGUUUGCAAAAAAGCAAUAUUCGAGUCAAAAAGGGUUUCCCUCGGUAUUUUGGAAUUGCUCUUAUAACUUUAAAAUUUAAGCAUUGGUUAGUGUGUAAAAAGGGUGUAUAAACUCUUAUCCUUUGAGCAAUUAAGAUACUAAUUUUUGAAUGAGUUGAUACAUUAAGGCAUUUAAUUUGGAAAAAUUUGGAAAUUAAUUAUGCUUGAUUUAUUAGUACUUAUUAUUAUAUUAUUUACUAUUGCUUGCUGAUGUACCAACACAAUUUGUCAACCAGUUUUUCUUAUGUACCAGCAACUUUUGUUAUGAUUUAAGAGCCUUCUCUCAUAACCAUUUAAAUAUUGAUUAAUUUCUUGCAGGUUUAGUCACCCACAUAAAACAAAUUCUAAAAGGUUUAGAAUAAUUUUUUCUUUCUUGCUGACCUGCGGUUUAGUCAACUGGUGUCAUUAUAUAUACAUAGACAAGAGACCCUGACCAGGCGACGGUAACCCAUCCAACAAAGGAAACAAGAUUACACCAAAGGACACUAACACCGAACAGAAACACAAUCAGCAGCAUCAAGUCUAUGCUACAAUAUUACAGAUUCGUUGUCGACACUGUAACAUCACAGAUACAUACUCAUAAAGCAUACAAACACCAACCAUCCCAAUAAUCAGAAACCAAACUGAAAAUCACCAGCAGCAAUGAAAGCAUGUCCAGAAAACUCCAUCAGCACACCCGCAGAUCUCGACAUUCACAAACCGGAAAAGAGAUGGUAGAACACCCCAUAAACCUGAGAGGCAUCACAAGGAAAAACAUAAUAUCGAACCACCAAGCAUAAAACAUGUCACCACGAUCGACCCCAAUUUUUGCAGGUGAGUCCAUCAUUGAAUUUGCUGCUCGUAGUGUAUGCACGAAGGAAACCAAUUUAAACAACCGAUUUAAGGAAGCGAGUGAAGAUAGCAGCUUUAUCAAAGUCUCCUUCUUCGUGGGCUCGUAAGAUAUUAAACAUAAGAAUAAGCCGAAUCCGAUUGCAAGCUGUUUGCUUCAUAAUCACUUGAGUUUCCUCUCUGAGUUGAUCGCUUUGGCGUUGAACAUCUCCAAACCUUUCUCCUAUAUUUCGUUGCUUCUCUCUUAUGCAUCUUUGAACUUCCCUUAUCUUUCCCAUUUGUGAUUUUAUUCGUUGGAUCCUCACUUUCAAACUCUUCAUUUUUUGUUUGAAAGCCUUCUUCCUCAUGCUCAUCGCCAUUUUAUCAGCUUAAAUUUGAAGCUAAAGUGCUCAAAGAUAUAAUCUUGGAAUGUGUUGAGUGAAAUGCCAUGAAGACUGGAUUGUAUAUUUAUACCAAGUGAAUGUUAGAGAACGCGUCUGAAAUGAAAAGAGGGAGAAAGAGCAGUUAUAUAAAAACGCCAGUGUUGUCUAGGAAUCGGGCGCCGCGGUAAGAGUGGCUGGGAAUGCUCUAUGAGGCAAGAUUAUUGUUAUGAUUGGCUGCUGAUAUUUCUAUGUGGAAUCUUUUCUUGGCUUUUCUUGGUUUUUCUUGCUUCACAAACUUUUUCAGCAAGCGAAUCUUUCUAUGUGAGCCAUUUGUCGAGCGUAUGCUUUAUUUUGUCAAGCUAUCGAUUAACUUUUCAGAAAACUUUUCACUUCAGAAUGCUAUAAUGCUUUGCUCCUCGUUUCUUCUUAUUAUAACAUUUUUAUAUUAUCUUAUUAUUAAAAUAAUAAAAUAUUAUUUGAUGUGAUAUUUGUCUUUGAAAUUAGAAAAGUUUUAAAAUUUAAUUAUUUUUUUAAUUAUGUAUAAUUGAGGAUAAAUUUGUAUAGCUAAUUAAAUUAAUUCAUAAAAUUAUAAUUAUUAAUUAAUUUAUAAUAUCUUUUAAUAUAUAUACUUUAUAUAUAUAUAUAUAUAUUAGAUUCAUUUAUAAAGAAUAUAAUUACCGUUAUAUAUAUAUUGAAAUAUUUUUUAUGUGUGCGUGUGUGUAUAUAUAAAUUUACUUUAAAUAUAAACAUAUUUACUUUCUAUUUUGUGUUAGUAUUAUAAAAAUUAUAACUCAUAAAAUUGUUAAUUACAAUAUACAGACUUAUGUUUAUAUAAACUUAUAACAUAUAAAUAUAAAGGGAAGUUAUGAGAUUAGAAUAGUUAAUUGGAUAAUUGGAUACCCAUGAAGAAGAUUUUAAUAAUGUUUUUAUCUAAUCGGGUAUUUAAACGAGUUAAGGUAAUUGUAGGGUAGUGAUAAUGUAUUAGGGUUAGGGUUAUGGUAGUAAUUUUUAAGAUUAUUCGGAUAGUUAACCAGGUUAAGAUAUUUAAUUUUUAAUAGGGUUAGGGUUCAGGUAGUUCGAAAUUAACAGAUACCCUACCUGUUAACAUCCCUAAUUAAAUUCAGAUUUGAUAUUAUCUAUAUUUGUGUUUUGCCAAAAAAAAAUUUAAGUGAUAAAGUCUUGAAAGAGGUGUGCUCUUUGCCUUUUAGAUGAUCUUUUGAAAAUUCUUUUCCCAUGGAAACUAUUUUGAAGUUUAUAUUGAUAUUUUCCAACAUAGUUUCGUAAGGUAUAUAAAGUCUUGGCUAAAAGUGUUGGGAAUCUUUAAAACUCAUAAGAGUUAAUUUUAAGUGAUCUUCCAAAAUUUCUUCAAUAAGAGACAGUAUCUUAGAGUUUGCAAACAAAAUUUCCAAAAUAAUUUUUUACAGAUAUAGAGACUUCACUAUAUCAUUGAGAGUCUUAAAAGUUACGUACACUCGUUUGAAAGAAGAGAAAUAUUUCUUUUUAAUUUAUGUUUGUUCACAAAAAUUGUCACGACCCGGAACUCCCAUCGAGCCCCUGACAACCGCCGCGACGUCCCGAUAGGCACUCAUUACCCCAAAUGCCGAUCGGAACCCCGCAAGGCUUAGCAUCAGCUUCCGCAUCUCCCCGAUGAGUGACAAUUAUUAAAUCUUGCAUUUCAAGAAAUCAUAAGUCAUUUCCAAAUCAAAAUAAAAAAAAUUAUUUUCUGGCUCAGGGGCAUUUUUGUCAUUUUUCUUCGAUAAUACCGAAACUCGCCAAAAACAUGGUGUAAAAGCUAAAUAUGUUCAUACAUAUUUUAAAUCAGAUAACAAAAAUAUAAAAUUACUUUUACAAUGACACGUGGGCCCCCAACUAACCAAUAAGAUGCGAGUUUGUGAACUUAUAAUUUUGACAACGCAAGGCUAACUAAAGUCCUUGAUGCAAUCGGCUAUCUACCGGCUAUCCCGAACCUGAAAUGUGGGGAAUUGAGGGUGGUGAGAUUAUAAAAUCCCAGUGAGUAAACAGACAUCAUCUAAACUAUCUAAAGGCAAGUAAAUGGAGACAAUUAAAAAAUAAUUAACUUCAGCAAAUUUUUCACAUCACGAAUAUUCAUUUCAACCAAAUAAUCAAUAUGGCUCGUGAAUUACUCAAAACUUGGCUCAUGCCAAAUCCUGUACUCGGUGACACCUGGACCAGGGGUAUCCAACCNNNNNNNNNNNNNNNNNNNNNNNNNNNNNNNNNNNNNNNNNNNNNNNNNNNNNNNNNNNNNNNNNNNNNNNNNNNNNNNNNNNNNNNNNNNNNNNNNNNNNNNNNNNNNNNNNNNNNNNNNNNNNNNNNNNNNNNNNNNNNNNNNNNNNNNNNNNNNNNNNNNNNNNNNNNNNNNNNNNNNNNNNNNNNNNNNNNNNNNNNNNNNNNNNNNNNNNNNNNNNNNNNNNNNNNNNNNNNNNNNNNNNNNNNNNNNNNNNNNNNNNNNNNNNNNNNNNNNNNNNNNNNNNNNNNNNNNNNNNNNNNNNNNNNNNNNNNNNNNNNNNNNNNNNNNNNNNNNNNNNNNNNNNNNNNNNNNNNNNNNNNNNNNNNNNNNNNNNNNNNNNNNNNNNNNNNNNNNNNNNNNNNNNNNNNNNNNNNNNNNNNNNNNNNNNNNNNNNNNNNNNNNNNNNNNNNNNNNNNNNNNNNNNNNNNNNNNNNNNNNNNNNNNNNNNNNNNNNNNNNNNNNNNNNNNNNNNNNNNNNNNNNNNNNNNNNNNNNNNNNNNNNNNNNNNNNNNNNNNNNNNNNNNNNNNNNNNNNNNNNNNNNNNNNNNNNNNNNNNNNNNNNNNNNNNNNNNNNNNNNNNNNNNNNNNNNNNNNNNNNNNNNNNNNNNNNNNNNNNNNNNNNNNNNNNNNNNNNNNNNNNNNNNNNNNNNNNNNNNNNNNNNNNNNNNNNNNNNNNNNNNNNNNNNNNNNNNNNNNNNNNNNNNNNNNNNNNNNNNNNNNNNNNNNNNNNNNNNNNNNNNNNNNNNNNNNNNNNNNNNNNNNNNNNNNNNNNNNNNNNNNNNNNNNNNNNNNNNNNNNNNNNNNNNNNNNNNNNNNNNNNNNNNNNNNNNNNNNNNNNNNNNNNNNNNNNNNNNNNNNNNNNNNNNNNNNNNNNNNNNNNNNNNNNNNNNNNNNNNNNNNNNNNNNNNNNNNNNNNNNNNNNNNNNNNNNNNNNNNNNNNNNNNNNNNNNNNNNNNNNNNNNNNNNNNNNNNNNNNNNNNNNNNNNNNNNNNNNNNNNNNNNNNNNCUUAACUAAAUCACUUAAUUCAAUUAAAUCAACCAAAAAUCAAGCUCAAAACUCAUCCCUGGAGGUUUGGCCAGCAUGGGUGUCCAUACCCACUUUCUGAUUUUGCAUGGAAAUGAGAAAAAAAUGCAUGGGUAGUGAAAAAAACAAGGAAAAUCAAUGAAAUUUGCCUUUUUAAUGCUUGAUUUUUUUAUUUCUCUUGAUUUUCCCCAAAAUUUUUUCAGCUAGGGUUCUUAUUUCUUUUCCCUCCCUUUUUCUCUCCUGUUUUGGACAGCUGAAGAAGAUGAGAAAUCUGGAAUUUUUUACCUUUUUAAAGGCUAAAAUAAUAUAAUAUUAUUUUAUUUAUUUUUUUUGUUUUAUUAAUUCCUUAAAUUCUAGCCAUUUAUUUGUUUCCAAAUUUUCACCAUACACUUGUCCCAUAUAUCCAUAGCUUAGAUAAAUUCUCAGACUUAUCCAAAGUCUUGGUGGAUUAAUUUUUAAAAUUUACACUUUUACCCCCGUAAAAGUCAAAAAUUACAUUUUUACCCCAAAAACUGAAAAUUGCCCAUAGACAUAUUUUCAUCCCUUAUACUCAUAACAUUCUCCAAUUUGUCAAAUUUGAUCUAAAUUCUCUCAAAAUCUCAAAAUUUAUCCGUGGGUGGAAAAAUUACGAUUUUGCUCCUACACUCCAGAAAUCACCGGAAUUAAACUUUUUCAUUGUCAAACUCUCAAAUUAUACCCCAAUACUCAAAUCAUACUCCAAUAAGUUAAAUGGGGCCAAAAAAAUCUUUCCUCAAAAUUCUCAUUUUGUCCCCAAGUGGCAAAUGACCAUUUUGCCCCUAGAAUACUUAAAGUCCGGAUUAACUCCAUAUCGGACCUCAAACUCUGAAUCCUCAUUUUAAAUCAACCCGUGGGUUUUAGUUUUCUCAAAUUCAUCCUCGAUUCUCUAUUUAAACUAGUUCAAGACUUAUUUAACUAAACCGUACCAUUAUGGGCAAUAUCGCCUUUUAACGAUUCCUCGAACUUCCUAAACAUGCAAACAUUCUAUUGAACAUGUAAAUGACGUCGUAAUUAUUUUAUAGUAUAGGGUUUGACAAAAAUUGUGUCUACAUCAUUAUGCAAUUCAUGAUUCUCAUAAUUCAAUGCUCAAAGAUCAAGAGUAGCUAUAGACAUCCCUUUUAUUCGAAAUUAUUUAUUGUAAAAUUUUUAUUAAUUCGCAUUAGUUCAUUAUUGAUUAGUCCAAUUUUUAGCUUGUUCAGAUUAUUUUUAUUUGAGCUUUAAUUACAUUGAAUUAAACUCAACAAGUAAACUAAGUUUAGGGUUAGUGUCCAAAAUACAAACUUAGGGUCCAAAGUGCAAACUUAGGGUUCAAAUUGAUAUGAAUCAAUAUAUAUGUAUAUACCCAAAAAUAACAAAAACUAAAAAAUCAGUAAAUAAAAAUAUAAAAAAAUAUAAAAAAUCAAAAGGGAACAUUUCAUCUUGCAUUAACAGAUUUGAUUCCACAAAAUCAAGAUAAUAAAAGCAAAUAAAAAAUCAAGAAGAAUCAAGGAAAACGAAAGAAAUAAAAAAUUAAACGCCUAAUAUCUAAAAAAGUCUUUAAACUAUUCAGAAAAAUUCAAAUAGGCAUUUAUACUUUUAUUGUGUUCAAACAAACCCUUAUAUUUUUAUUUUGAGUCGAAUAAGCUCUCAUAACUAAUAGUUGAAUUAGUCAAAAUGUCGCUUGUCAUUUUAUGUUAUAUGGCACUAACAUGGCACUAGCGUGGUAUAUUGACAUGUCAUAAUACAAGAUGAUUUGGUAUAUUAAUGUGAUAUGUUGACAUGGUCAUCUCACAUUUUUCAUGCUCUAUAUCAGCACCACAUGGAUAUAAAAUGAUAGUGUAUGUUUUGAUUAUUGGCAAUUAGUCAACCAUUAUUUAUAAAAGAUUAUUUGACAUAAAAUAAAAGUACAAAUGUUUGAUUAAACAAAAUAAAACAAUAAGGGCUUAUUUAAAUUUGUUUUAAAAGUUUGCGCAUUUUUUUUACCAUUAUGACAAAGUAAAAAAGGGGAAGAGAUGAAGUCCAAAAAUUCCUGAUUAUUUCUUGUGGUGCAACAUAUACCACGUUUUUUUACCAUUAUCAGGUAUAUUUCCUGAUAAUUUGUUAUCACUGAAGUCCAAAAAUUCCAACAUAAAACAAUUCCCUAAAGAUGAAGGAAAUGGUCUUGAGAAGCUAUUGCCGCGUAAACUGAGCAUUCGAAGCAUUCUAAGAGAUCCAAUCGAUCUUGGAAUUGAGCCUGACAAAUUGUUCUCAGCCAAAUUCAAAGCUUUAAGUGAGAGCCGCCAUCUUGCCAAGCAAUCGGGAAUUACUCCAGAAAAUAAGUUAUUUGAGAGAUCAAGCAACUUCAAUAAUUUAGCAGGAAUGUUGCAAAUUGAUUUGAUUGAACCAGAAAAUUUAUUUUUGGAAAGGUUCAAGGUAGACUACCAAUUUGUCAUUUGUGGCAAUGGGCCUGUUAAAUUAUUGGAGCUACUACAUUUUCUGCUUACCUACUACAUUUUUAGCAAGUUUUGAGAUUUUCGAUGAAAAAUGACGAAAAUGCCCUUGUGAGCCAGAAAACAAUAUGCUAUGUUCUGAUUUGGAAAUGACUCGUAAUCCUUCGAAUUAUGAUUUUUGAUGACUAUUGUUCACCAGGAAGUGCGAAAGCUGAUACGAGAGCCUUGCGAGGUUUCGAUCGGCAUUUGGGGUGAAGAAUGUCUGUCAAGACUUCGCGACGGUUGUCACAGGCUCGAUGAGAGUUCUGGGUCGUGACAAGAAUAGUUAAUUGGAUAAUUAGGUAUCCAUGAAGAAGAUUUUAAUAAUUUUUUAUCUAAUUGGGNAGAAAAUAAUUUAUUUUAUUGAAUAUUUUUAUUAUAUUCAAAAGGUCAAAUUUUCACUUCAAAUGAAUGUUUAGAUACUUAAUUUUUUUUAAAUCACUAAAUACAUAUAUUUUCUGCUUACCUACUAUAUUUUUAGCAAGUUUUUAGAUUUUCGACGAAAAAUGACGAAAAUGCCCUUGUGAGCCAGAAAACAAUAUGCUAUGUUCUAAUUUGGAAAUGACUCGUAAUCCCUUGAAUUUUGAUUUUUGAUAACUAUUGCUCACCAGGAAGUGCGAAAGCUGAUACGAGAGCCUUGCGGGGUUUUGAUCGGCAUUCGGGGUAAAGAAUGUUUGGUGAGACUUCGCGACGGUUGUCACAGGCUCGAUGAGAGUUCUGGGUCGUGACAAGAAUAGUUAAUUGGAUAAUUAGGUAUCCAUGAAGAAGAUUUUAAUAAUUUUUUAUCUAAUUGGAUAUUUAAACGGGUUAGGGUAAUUAUAGGGUAGUAAAAAUGUAUUAGAGUUAGGUUUAGGAUAAUAAUUUUUAAAAUUAUUUAGGUAGGCAAUAGGGUUAGGGUAUUUGAUUUUUAAUAGAGUUAGGGUUUGGGUAUCUAGAAAUUAAUGGGUACCCUAUCCCGUUGACAUCCCUAAUUAAAUCCAGAUUCGAUAUUAUCUAUAUUUGUCUUUUGCCAAAAAAAAAUUAAGUGAUAAAGUCUUGAAAUAGGUGUACUAUUUGCUUUUUAGAUGAUCUUUUGAAAAUUGUCUUUACCAUGGAAACUAUUUUGAAGUUUAUAUUGACAUUUUCCAACAUAGUUUCGUAAGGUAUAUAAAGUCUUGGCUAAAAGUGUUGGGAAUCUUUAAAACUCGUAAGAGUUAAUUUUAAGUGAUCUUCCAAAAAUUCUUCAAUGAGAGACAAUAUCUUGGAGUUUGCAAACAAAAUUUCCAAAAUAUUUCUUUACAGAAAUAGAGACUUCACUAUAUAGUUGAGAGUCUUAAAAGUUACGUACACUUGUUUGAAAGAAGGGAAACAUUUCUUUUUAAUUUAUGUUUGUUCACAAAAAUAGUGUCUACAUCAUUAUGCAAUUCAUGAUUCUCAUAAUACAAUGCGCAAUGAUCAGGAGUAGCUAUAGACAUCCCUUUUAUUCGAAACUAUUUAUUGUAAAUCUUUUAUUAAUUCGCAUUAGUUCAUUAUUGAUUAGUUCAAUUUUUAGCUUUUUCAGAUUUUUUUAUUUGAUCUUUAAUUACGUUGAAUUGAGCUCAACAAGCAUAUUAAGUUUAGGGCUAGUGUCCAAAAUACAAACUUAGGGUCCAAAGUGCAAACUUAGAGUUCAAAUUGAAAUGAAUCAAUAUAUAUGUACAUACCCAAAAAUAACAAAAACUAAAAAAAUCAGUAAAUAAAAAUAUAAAAAAUAUAAAAAAUCAAAAGGGAACAUUUCAUCUUGCAUUAACAGAUUUGAUUCCACAAAAUAAAGAUAAUAAAAGCAAAGAAAAAAACAAGGAAAAAUCAAGGAAAAGGAAAGAAAUAAAAAAUAAAAGGCCUAAUAUCUAAAAAAGCCUUUAAACUAUUCAAAAAAAAAUCAAAUAGGCCUUUAUACUUUUAUUGCGUUCAAACAAGCCUUUAUACUUUUAUUUUAAGUCAAAUAAUCCCUCAUAACUAAUAGUUGAAUUAGUCAAAAUGUCACUUGUCAUUUUAUGUUAUAUGGCACUGACAUGACACUAAUGUGGUAUAUUGACAUGUCAUAAUACAUGAUAAUUUGGUAUAUUAAUGUGACAUGAUGACAUGGUCAUAUUGCAUUUUUCACCCUCUAAGUUAACGUCACAUAAAUAUAAAAUGAUAGUGAAUAUUUUGAUUAUUGACAAUUAGUCAACUAUUAUUCAUAAGGGCUUAUUUGACUUAAAACAAAAAUACAGAAGUUUAAUUGAACAAAAUAAAAAAAUAAGGGCUUAUUUAAAUUUUCAUGAAAAUUUUAUAGAUUUUUUUUUACAUUAUGGCAAAAUAGAAAAGGGAAGAGAUCCAAAUUAUGCAUUAACAACUCACCUACAAUAUUAUGAAAAUUAGUGAUGUAAAAACUCUACCCUUUUCGAAAAAGAAACCUCUCUUCCUCUAUUGCUAAUAAAAAAAUUUUAUAUUUUGAAAAAUAUGGUUCCAACUGGAUUUUAUAGUAGUUUCUCACCACGCGUUUUUAGAGAUCAAAAUCCUUGUUAAAUGUCAACAAUCAAAUCCUAUUUUUAAAUCUAAUGGUUUAUUUCUUUUUUCCAAAUUAAGCUUUGGAUUGGUAUGGAUGGAAGUUUGAGUAUUCUGACAUAUGUUUGCUAAAAGCAAUAUUAAAUUUAAAAGGUGUUUUCCUUGGUAUUUUGAAAUAGCUCUUAUAACUUUAAAAUUAAAGCUUUUGUUAGUGUGUAAAAAGGGUGUACAAACCCUUAUCAAUGUGCCAACAGAUCCUUUGAGCAAUUAAGAUACUAAUUUUUGAAUAAGUUGAUACAUUAAGGCAUUUAAUUUGGAAAAAUAUGAAAACUAAUUAUGCUUGAUUUAUUAGUACUUAUUAUUAUAUUAUUUACUAUUGCUUGCUGAUGUAGCCACACAAUUUGUCAACCAGUUUUCUUAUGCAUGAGCAACUUUUGUUAUGAUUUAAGAGCCUUCUCUCAUAACUAUUUAAAUAUUGAUUAAUUUCUUGCAGGUUUAGUCACCCACCUAAAACAAAAUUCUAAAAGAUAGAUCUCUCAAGUGUUCGCAGUACUCCCUUAUUAGAAUAACUAGAAUAUUACCCGUGUGCAACAUACGGACCUCUUUAUACUCCUCUCUUUUGCUUCAACGUCUUUUCUCUUUUCACUCUAUUUGCCCUUCACGUGGUUCACUCUGACGCCUUUGCACCCCUCUCUUUCUCUCUCUUUGCUUCAACAUCUUUUCUCUUUCACUGUCUCUGCCUUCCACACAGUUAACUCUGGAACCCUCAGGCUUUUUUUUAUGUAUGUUAUAAAAGUCACAACUUUCCACAUAGCAGCUUAGGGGAACAAAAACGUGGCCAAAUAUAGAGCCAAGUUUAAAUCUUCAAAUUAUUUCUUUCUUGCUGACCAUCGGUUUAGUCAACUGGCCCAUCCAAGAAAGGAAAACAGUUUACACCGGAAGACACUAACACUAAACAGAAACACAUGCAGCAGCAUCAAGUCUAUACUACUCAUAAAGCAUACAAACACCAAAGUGGUGAACACCAACCAUCCUAAUAAUCUGAUCUUGAUAACUAGAACAGAAACCAAACUGAAAAUCACCGGCAGCAAUGAAAGCAUAUCCAGAAAACUCCAUCAGCAGACCCCCGGAUCUCAACAUUCACAAACCAGAAAAGCAUAAGAAUAAGCCAAUCUGAUCAUUGAUUUCGCUGCUCGUAGUGUAUGCACGAAGGAAACCAAUUUAAGCAACCAAUUUAAGGAAGCGAGUGAGGGUAGCAGCUUUAUCAAAGUCUCCUUCUUCCCGGGCUCCUAAGAUAUUGAACAUAAGAAUAAGCCGAAUCCGAUUGCAAGCUGUUUGCUUCAUAAUCACUUGAGUUUCCUCUCUGAGUUGAUCGCAUUGGCGUUUAACAUCUCCAAACCUGUCUCCUAAAUUUCGUUGCUCCUCUCUUAUGCAUCUUUGAUCUUCCCUUAUCUUAUCCAUUUCCGAUUUUAUUCGUUGGGCCCUCACUUUCAAACUCUUCAUUUUUGGUUUGAAAGUCUUCUUCCUCAUGCUCAUCGCCAUUUUAUCAGCUUAAAUUUGAAGCUCAAAGAAAACUAAAGCUGAAUGAGUUGGAGAUUUAAUCUUCGAUUGUGUUGAAUGAAAAGCCAUAAAGACUGGAAUAUAAAUAUACAUCUAACAAGUUACUGUUAGCGAACCGCGUCUGGUGUUCGGAGGAAAAACAAUAGAAUAAGGAAGAUGAAGAGAAACCGGAGUGAAAGGAGGAAGAAACAGCAGUUACAUAAUGAGGCCAGCAAUCGAACGAUUUUCAAGUGUUAAUAUAUUCCCAAGUGUAAGCGUCGCUCGGUUUCUCAAGUGUUAUCGAGCGAUUCCUUUUGUUAUGACUGAAUGAAACACAAGACUAUCGGUUUGGCUGACAUCCACUUAAUAUAUUCUCGUGGUCCCACACUGUUACUGCAAAAGUAUUUUAUUACGUCACAUACUUUUUCUUUGUGUAUUAUUUAUAUUAUUUUAUUCCUGAUAGUAGUGUUAUGUAAUAUGUAUUAGGAGUAAGAAACAAGAAUGAGGUCACCGCAAAGGUACUCCGUUAAAUACUUCAAAAAAAGGGAUAAACAAAGGUCUUUUAAAUUAAUUAAACUUCACCAUCAGCUUUUUUCAAUCAUUUGCAUGGUAUAUACAAAGACCUUCACAGCGAAUGAGAUUACACAAAUUAAAAUUGUUCAUAUAGAGAUUAUUGAAAGUUAAAGAGGGUGCAAAAUUACACAUAAUAUGUCUCCCCAUUCACAUAAUUGUUCAUAAUAUGUCUUAUCGAGCGAUUGCUUUUGUUUUGAGAGAAUGAAACACAGAUUAUUAGUCUGUUUUUAUUAUAGUGUUUCUACUAUAGUCUUGUGUGACUGGAAGUGACAGAUUAUUGGUGUGGUUGUUACAUCGAUUUAAUAUUCUCGUGGUCACAGCGUUAUGAUUUGCUUCUCAUAUUUUCUAGGAACUUCAUUUUCUUGGCUUUUGUGGCUGAAUAUGUCGUUCAAUUCACGUCACACUUAAACUUCAAAUACAAAGGUCAGUAAAGUCUAUUAGCAAUUCACGCCAAAGACAAGUUCUAGAAACCAAUAGAAACAAGGCACAUAAACGACAGAAUUAGAGAUGAAUGGAUUUCGUUUAAUUCCAACAAAUCCCUCCGUCAGAUUAAUUAGUUUUCAAUCUUCACCAUGCAAGCAUCUUCUAGAACUUGUAGAACACAUCACUCUUUAAUGGCUUUGUAAAGAUAUCUGCAAGUUAGUCUUUAAACUAGCAAACUCCACCUCAAUCUCAUGGUCUUUUACCAAAUCCCGACAGUAGUGAUGUUUGAUAUUGAUAGGUUUGUUGUGAGCAUGGAACACCAGAUUCUUUGUCAAUGCCACAUGUUCUCUGCUUCAGCUCCUAAGUUAAUCUCUGCACAAAAGGAUGAAUCCCUGAUAAUUAGGAUAGUGAUGAACUUGUUAGGGAGUUAAACAAGAAAAGGUGUUUUUCAGCAAAGAAAGACACAGUUGCUCUGAAAACAAAUUCAUGACCUGAAAUUAAAAAGGUAUGCUUUACUUUAAUUUGAAAAUAUAUUAUUCCCCCUGAAGUCUGGAAUUCCCCAUGGUUAGCCAUUUUUGUGUUGCAUCCCUCUUAAAUGCUUUUGAGGGAUAAAGUUGUCCGGUUUGAACAUACUAACUAUUUAUGCACUUGAUGUGGUGUCUAUGAUGAGGAUUGUCGAUUUGUCGUCAUGUUCUACUUUCCUGCAAUUCUUCAUCAAUUAUGUGGUGUUGUGUUCUCAAGUGACGGGGAUUUAAACUCUGUAGAAAAUUUUAUCAAGUCUUGUGAUGGUGUCUUGAAAAAGAAAUGGUUGGCAGUGUGUGGUGCUAGUUUAUAGUACUUAUGGAUUGCAAGGAAUGAGUUAGUUUCCAAUGGGAAAAGGUUGGAUAAAGAAGAAACAAUCUUCUUCAUCUCUAAGCAAAAGGUGGGAUCAAAUGAGAUCUAUAUUUAGCAUCUAAGUUGUUUAGCUAAGCAAAAGGGGUAGACCCCCUUCAUACACAACCUGCUUACGAUAAUCAAGAAAGGAAAAAAACAUGGUUGCAUUUUGGAUCAAACUACAUAAGAACUAACUCCUCUCCUUAUUCUAUUAAAUCAAAUGCCAUAACAUAUGAGUCUAAAAGUUCAACCAGUCGAUGUGAAAGAAAAAUAGCCAUCAAUAAUUUUUUUUUUUUGUAGUGAUUAGUUACCUAGGUGAAUCUAUCUUUCCUAAGAAGGUCUUAUGCUUGACUUAAGUUCAUUAAAAAAGAUACAUUUCAAUCUACAAAAUAGACUAAGCUUGGGGAUACGGUUACAUGUAAGGAAGGUAAUUAGCAGUCCCAUAACACUCAUCCUAAAAAUGGUUAUUUAUUUCUAACUUAGGAGUUUUCAAGAAAUUAUCACCAUAACUUUAUCAAAUUCCAUCAUUUGAGAAUUGUUAUUUAUUUGCAUUUUUGUGCUUAUUUAUUUAUUUUGUUUUAUUAUUUUUGUUAUUUUUAUUAUUAUUAUUUAUGCAAAUCCUUUUUGUCAAAAAAUUUUCCAAAUUCUCCAACACUUACGACAAAAUUAUAAAAAUUACAAUAAAGAAAAAUGAAGUAAAGAAAAGUAAAUAGAUAAAUAAAGAAAAUAAAAAGGAAAAAACUAGAGAGUUAAAAAUUUGUUUUUACAUCGAACUAUGUGUAUGAAAAAAAACAAACAAUAACAUAAAAAACAUAUUCUAGUGAGUCUUAAAACCCAAGGAAGUAGCUCAUUUUUUUUAUGUUGCAAAUUUUCUCAGGAGCCAACUACCCUGUGGUAGUUUUAUCAAUAAAAAAAUUAAACAUACAAAAAAAAAAAAGACAUAAACCUUAUUUCUGAAUUUACAUGUUUACAAAAUGCAAUUGAAAAAGGUCUACUCAAGGCAAUGCUAUUUUGAAGUUAGUAUAUAAUGCCUCACUUGGCUUCUUUUAUUUAUUUCUCUGCUUCCUUUUCUCUCUCUAGUAAUACCCCUCUCUCUAUUUUGCCUUAAACCAGUCAACGAACCACCAUCGUCGUUCCCAUCGCUACCAACCAUUAUUCACUCAAGUCAGAUGUAGACACCCCAUUUCGUACGAGUGUUUUGCCAAUCGUUGAGAAAAUUAAAAAACCAAAGUGUUAAAAAGGGCCCUUAUCGUAAUCCAAUCAGUUCAUUCUAAUCUUAUCGUAAUCUAAUCGGAUAAGGAAAAAAAAGAAAAAAACAACUUAAAUCCAACCAAAAUUCAAGAAAAAAAAUUAAAAUUAAACACAACAAUAAUGGGUAUAAAAAACCCAUUCAUCAACAACCAAAAGACAUUUAUCAACACAAAAUGAACAAUAAGAAAAAUUAAAAGAAAAUCAACAAAGAAAAAUAAAAGGGGCAUUCAGGUUUCUUGGUGAGGGAUGUUUGGUUUUCUCUAGAUUUAAGGAUAUUUAGGUGGUUUUAGGAAAAACGGUUUUGAUGAAAUGGACAAACGACUAGAAAGGAGUGAGAAGGUGAAAUUUGGACAAAUCUAGCAUCGACGAGUGACAGCUGGCACGACAAUAAUCUGAUGACCGAAAUCUAGACAGAUAGUGGAAGUAAGUUCUACAAAGAGAAGCUCUAGUAUAGAGAAAGGAAGGGAAUAAGAGAAAUAAGGAAAAGGGAGUUAAGGGGCAUUUUAUACAAGAUCUAAAACGACAUCAUUCAAGCCUCAAACAAUGUCAUUCCGCACUUAAAGACAAAGGAAGCAUGUGGCCUAGAUGCAACCAACCUGUGCCACAACCCGCAUUUAGAUAAGUUUAAGCAUUAAUGUUUAAGCAUUAAUGAUAUUCUUAAAUAAUAUUCUUAGGGUCAGAAAAUUAUUAAAAAAUAGAAUAAUGUAAAAAUAAGGAUAACAAAAUAUAUAUAAAAAUGAUAAAAGUAUAAACAUUUUAGAAAAAGUUUAGUUAUACGAAGAACGUAAGCUUAGGAGAAUAUUUACUACAAAUAUAAAUAACUCUUAAAAUAUAUAUAUAUAUAUACAUAAAACAAAAAAAAAAUAAAAUAAAAUAAAUAAUAAUAAAUAAUAAAAUAAAAAUAUAAUGACAUUAACUAUAAGUAUAAUAUACCGAUGAUGGGAUGAUCGGUCGGGAAGCUAGAAAUCGCAAUCCCGGGCUCAUGUUUUCUAAGUUCGGAAUCCGAAUCAAGGCUCUACCAGUACGAUGGGAGGGCCUCGAUUUCAAAAUCUCAAAAUUUUUUAAUAAAUAAAGAAUUUGAUUAUACAAAGUUAUUCAAUAAAAAUAAUAAAUAAAUAACCAUAGAUAAAAAAAGAAUAAAAUAUAAAUAAAAAUNNNNNNNNNNNNNNNNNNNNNNNNNNNNNNNNNNNNNNNNNNNNNNNNNNNNNNNNNNNNNNNNNNNNNNNNNNNNNNNNNNNNNNNNNNNNNNNNNNNNNNNNNNNNNNNNNNNNNNNNNNNNNNNNNNNNNNNNNNNNNNNNNNNNNNNNNNNNNNNNNNNNNNNNNNNNNNNNNNNNNNNNNNNNNNNNNNNNNNNNNNNNNNNNNNNNNNNNNNNNNNNAAAAAUAUAAAAAUAUAAAAAAAUACAAAAAGAUAAAAUAUAAAUAAAAUAAAAAAUAUAUAAAAUUUUUGUCACAAAGUAACAUGGAAUCAUAAACAAUUUAUCUAAUUAUAAAAGGAAAAUAUGAGAGUAACUUAAAAUAAAAGAUGUAAAGUAUAAAAAAAAAUAAUUAGAAAGAAAAUAGAAAAUAUGAUAAUAAAAAAUAAAAUAAAAUGAAAAUAAUAAUUAAUAAUAAAAAAUGGACAAUUGCAUUAGCAUAGUAUGUACAUAUAUAUUGCAUCAUGCAUAUCAUUGCAUAUGAAUAUUUAUGUUUUCGAGUUUAAUCCCCGAUGAUGGGAUCUUCCGAGGAUCUUGCGAAGGCGGGUAUUUCUUGAAAAGUUUCCUAGGUGAAAAGAUGUCCUCGGAUCCCACUAGUAUGAUGGGAGGUCUCGAGAAGCAUAUUUAAUAAAAGGCUUUUGCCUGAAUUAGGUUCAUUAUGCAUGAAAAUGAUAUUUUAAAAGAAAACAUACGAUGACUUCGAUGAUGGGAUUUAUUCGUCGAAUUUACGAACGCGAAUUUCUCAGAUAAUUCCUUAGGUGAGAGAACACACCGGGUCCCACCAGUAUGAUGGGCGGAUCUGAGAGAAUGUUCUCGAUAAAAAGUUAUUCGUCCGAUAUAUUUUUAUCCCACGCCAUGCAUUUCAUCUUGCCUCACAUUUGCAUUCCAUUUUAGGUUAAAUAGGAGAUAAAAUAAGAGAAUAAUAACUAAGAAAAUAUAGUGAAAUUAAAAAUUAAAACAUAAUAGGAUAAUCUAAAAAUGGUACCGUUCAUGGAACGGGAGUCCUAGGGGUGCUAAUCCUUCCUUGAGCGUAACCGUACUCCCGAACUUAGAUCUAAAAAAAAUGUAGACCAGUUUAAGGUUCUUUUCGAUGGGCUUAAAAUUAAUUUAAAGCUUUAUCGAUUAGAAUCGAGUCAAUAGGUGGCCAAUCGCACCUAGAAAAAAAGAUCGGUGGCGACUCCUAGUUUUUAGAGUUUUCACUCGCGUCUGGCGAUCGGGUUUCCGGACCUGCACUUUACGACAGUGUCUGACUCCUUUUUUUUAUUGUAAAUUCAUUUGGGUUGUUUUGGUGUAUUUAGAUAAGUUAGUAAUUAGUUACAUAUUCGUUCAAGCCAUAAGCUUGUGAGAUUGAGUGUGUAAAACUCUCAUUGGUUGUAAGAAUCAGUGUGAAAUAUUCAAUGUUGGAAGUAUUUGUUGGGUUUGUAUAACAUGAGAUCUCACAUUUUAAAAGAUUGGUAGAAACUAUUAAUUCUUUUAAUUUAAUGAAUUUGGAUUUAAAAAUUCUUGACAAGCAUUGUCGAGGCAAUGGAUGUCGUUUGGGAUCAACAAGUUAAAGUUUUAUAUCCAAAAUUUAUGUUGUCAAAAAUAAAGUAUUUUUGUUGGUAUUAUAAACCAUGUGAAAUUUUAAUUAGCAAAUGAAAGUUUCAGCAUGCAAAAGAAACUGCUUUUUUAUUUUUUAGUUCAUCCAAAUCUCUUGGAGGGUUAUUCUUCUUUAUCAAUUAUGAACACCAUAUGAUACGAAAUAAUGAGAAGUGCUAGAAUUUUGAGGAGAAGAAAACCCAAUCAUCUCUUCCUGUCAAAGUAUUUAAGUUUAAUUUUUCUAAUAUAUUGUGAUUAUUUUUUAAAACAAAUAAAUCUCCUGUUAAACAAUAACUUGCUGUUCAGUUAAAGGGCUAACUUAACAAAAUCUUGUAAAAGAGACAGAGGUUGGGGCACGCUACUGAAUUUCCUUUGGUUGGUUUUACAAGUCCUUUUAGCAUAGCAAAUAAGUAAGAGACAUGCGAUACGCGUUGGUUUUCAUAAACAAACAUGCUGUAAUCGGGCGAGAGUAGACAGAAAGGAGCUUUGUUGAUUUCAUCUAGAUUGACUAUCUGCAUAUACAAUCUACGACUAUGAUGUCCAUCAAUUUUCUUCUUUCGUUCGAGAUUUAGACUAAAUCUGUCCAGACUUAGUCAACAAUUUGGCGUAACAACCACGACUAGGGUGGCCAUUUUGUGGACAUUUAUACAUAUAUAUCAAGCUAAAUAUAUGCAUAACUUGAGUCCAUCAAACCAGGGGCUUGUGAGCAACGAUGGUUCGCUGGGCAGAAGCAAGAACAUGUCUCCCUUUACCGCAGCACUAAAUUCAAGAUUACUGCCAAGGGAACGUCAGGUUUUUCUUUCUACUUCUUUGUUUUUUCUCGAAAAGUAACCAAGUUGUUCUUUUGGCUGGCAAGCAGAAUUUAUUAAUAGUAAACAACAAUAACUUUUCGUCAGGGUCCAUUAGUCUUUAAGAAUAUUUAUUUGAAGUCGCUAUUCCAAUAACAUUAUAUAUCUCUACUAUUUAGUUGUCAGCCAACACUCUUUAAAAUUAUAAAUUUAGUAGAAAUUUACAACGUUAGAGUUCAAUAAUUCAAUUUAAAAAUUCGUGAAAUUUGCAAUCGGAAACCAUUAAAUGAAAAUUAAAUAUGAAAACAUAUAUGUAUACAUGAAAUUUAGUAUUGUUCGUUUUUUAUUUACAUGAUGGUUCCUUUUAUAUCAGAAAAGAAGGAAGUUGAAAAAGCAGGGCACCAGUAUGAUGAGGGGGUUGACAGCACAGAUGGAAGAGGUUACUUCGGAACAAGAAAGGAGGAAAGAGGAGCAAAGACAGCUAAAAGACAAACUUAAAGCCAUAGAAGCUAAAUGUGACCAACUCCGCUAAGGGACCGCCAUCGUAAUACAGCAGAGUGCCAGCACCCAAAUCCGGCUCGCUCUCAUGUUUCAAAUCUUAAGAGCAAGAGAAAAUAGAGACUUUACCAAAGCAGCCCAACUUGCAUAAUCUCUUCGGUACUUUUCUUCAUAAUCUUAAGGAAGAAUGAACUCAUGACUUAAUGAAACACAACUGUUUUUUUUUUUUUUUCUUUUUCCUUUCAAAACUUUGAUGGCUAAUUCAUAUUACCUUUCAUUCUUUUCAUCUCCUCUUUGUAGUGAACUCAUAAUGAAACAGAAGGCAUAGUUGGGAGUAUUUGGCGGUGGCUUGCUUGAUCAAGCAUUGCUUCAUUCCAGAAUUUCAGCUAAAUUUCUUUGUUUUAUUAUCAAUUUUUGCACUUUCUUAUUGGAUUUUAGCCAUCGUAGAUUGUGGUAGUGAUUUAUAGUUUAUACAAAUAUAUGUUGAAACAAUAAUCAUUGUGUAAAAUUAUAAUAAUAUAAAUAAUGGGUAUUUCUAUAUGCAUUUUUCUUAUUAUCUUUUCUGGUGUUUAAGUGGAAGUAUUUGUAUCGUAUAUUGAAACAAUAAACUGUACUUAAAGUAUAAUAAUACAAAUAUAUAUAUAUAUAUAUAUAUAUAUAAUGAGAGAUCUACUAUGCACUAUAAUAAAAAAAGAGCUGAUUCUGUUCUUUUAAUGAGCAGAAAAACAAAUCUAGCAGAAAACAUUAUAAUGAGGAUUAUAUACAAGUAAGGGCAGCUCAAUAUCUUUAAAGGCCUAAAGCAUUUAAAUAUUUAAAUGAGACCCUUUUUAUUGAAAUUAAAAAAAAAUUAACGUUAAUUGGAGAUCAUUUAAAACAUAUUACGUUCAUUGAAAAUACGAAAAAUAAUUGAGAAUUAUUAAUAUUAUGGGAAUUGAGAAGUAAUAAAAAAAAGAUUUAUUAGGUGCAUAAUAAAAUUAUAGGACCUAUAAAAUUGUGGGGUCUGAAACAAGGGCUACAGUGACUUUAUGCUAAAGUCGGCCUUAUAUACAAGUUGAAAAAGAACCCUACUACUAAAAUAAUUACAGAAAAGCUCUAUCUUUGUUCAGUAAUUACAAUUAACUCAUAUGCUUACAAAUAUCAACACAUCCCCUCAAGAUGAGCAUGUAUAUAUAUUUUCAAUACUUAUCUUGCCAAGUAAGGUAUGGAGUUGAGCUAGUUGCAGUGCUUUUGUAAAAAAUAUUUGCAAGCUGCAAUUGUGUGGGAACAUAGUUUGGAACCAUUUUUCCAUUCAAUACCUUUUCUUUUAUGAAAUAGUAAUCUAAUUCAAUAUGCUUUAUCCUCUCGUGGAAGAUUGGGUUACUACAUAUGUGCAAAGUCGAUUGACUGCCACAAAAUAACUCUACUGCUUUAGCACUUUUUAUGCCAAAGUCUUUAAACAAAUAUAAAAAACACAUAAUAUUUCACAACAAGUGGAAGCCAUUGCUCUGUAUUUUGCCUUUAUUGAGUUUUUGGCCACCACAGUCUAUUGGUUUGAUUUCCAACUUAUAAGAGAAAUACCAAGAAAUAUGCCAAAGCUUGUGAUAGAUUUUCUAGUAUCUUGACAACUGGCUAGUCAUUAUUAGAAUAAGUUUUAAUGCCAAAUUUGCAUUUGAAGAUAAUAGUAUACCUUGGGCUAUUGUACCCUUAAGAUUACUUAAAACCCUAUGUGCAACUUGCAUAUGAACAAUGGAUGGCUUAUCUAUGAACUAAGACAAGCCUAGCACUAUAAACAUAAUAUUUAGUCUGGUAAUAGACUUACCAUCCAAUUAUUUGUAGCUGGUUGAGUUUUCUAUCAAGGGAUUAUCACUACACCUAGACAUUUUUUUACUGUAAUCAAUUGGAGUUAGUGCUAGCUCAAAACCAAGAAACCCAUAUUCACCAAGUGAAUCCAAUGUGUAAUUCCUUUAGCAAACUAAUAUGCCCUUCACUGAUCUAGCAAUCAUCUCCAAGCCUAAGAAAUAUUUAAGAUUUCCCAAAUCCUUUAGCUUGAAAUUGAAUCCAAGUGUUAUUUAACUUCAUAUGGAAGUUUUACAAAGGAGCUAGUUGCCAAUAUGUCAUCAACAUAACCCAAACGAGCUAAAAGUUGUUGCUAGUAAUUCUGGUAAAUAAUGAGUAAUCUAAAUUUGAUUGAGCAAAACCAAAUUGAAGUAGUAAAUUUGUAAGCUUUCAAUUCUUUUAGCUUUGAAAUGACAAAAUUCAAUGAUCUAAUUAUUCUUGUGAGCUUAAAAGAAAUGUUUCUGAAAUGGAAGAACUUUCCUUCAAAAGGUUUUAAAGCUAUUUGUGAAAAAUACAAUCAUUUGAAUGCUUCAAAAACAAGUUUGAGCAAAGAAAAAUUGACUUCUGUAAGCGAGGUAAGGAUUCCCUGAAAGAUAGAAAACUAUAUUUUUUCUUUGCAAUAGGAAGGAAUCAACUUGUUAAGAAGAGAAGCAUCAAUUCUAAAAAAACUGAAGGUUACUAGAUUGGAAGGAUCGAUCUCUCAAGAAGUGAAAGGUUGAUUCCUAUAAAGGCAGAAGUAUAAAGAAGAGGGAUUGGACAGAAAGAACCGACUUCUCAAGUCUCCAAUGAUCUAUUCCUUAAGGCAAAAUGAAGAAAGGUCAUAACAUUAUAAACAAGUUAAAGGGGGAGAAUUUGAGCGAAAAACCAAAAUUUGAAAUUUUAAAGUAGUGUUCUAAGGUCAUAAAGAGCAUCAGGAUUAAUGUUGAAAAACAAGGAGAAUCAACUACUCAAUGGAGCAAUGGUUGAUUCCUAAAAAACAAAAAGCAUCAAGAUCGAUGCUCAAGCAUGAACAAUCGACUUGUGAAAAGUAGAAUGAUCGAUUCCUUGGAAACAAAAUGUCCCAAGGUAUGGAAGAGUUUACUGCUCAAAUGGGCAAUGAUCGAUUCUUGACUACCGACAGACAUGAUUCAAGUGGCCUCAAUGUUUUGAAUUUUUGAAUCCCCUUUCUUUUUAAUGGGUAGAUUUUAAGAGAGGCUAUAAAUACCAUCAAGAACUCCAUUUCAACCACAAGAGAGAAUAAAAAAAAGAGAGAAAAAAGCUUCAUCCCAAGAGGAGAGAUAAGCUUUAGUUCUCAAGUUCAUAUCUUUCUCACUUUAUAAAUCCUUUUAAAAACAGAGCAUUAGCCUCGAGCUUAAAUACUUUGAUAUUUCUUCAUUCUCUUGUACUUGAAGCCCCUCGAUUUGCCUAGCUAGAAGCACCACACUUUGUAAUCCAUUCUUGAAAAGUUAUACCUCCUUGAAAAGGUAGAUAGGUUAUACUUAAGCCUUGAGAAAAUAAGCUUGGUUAUACCUCAAUUGCAAAAGGUAGAUAAGUUGUGCUUUAACCUUGAAAAGGUAAUGACUUGUUGAUAGGUUUGUUUGAUCCUAAAAUGGCAAUUGGCUAUACAGGUUAUUCUUGAUCUUAGUUGAGAAAAGUAGCAUCUUUAGUGGAUUCAAACUCCUUAUGAUGCCAAAGGAAAAGACAUAGGCAUUGUAAGGCCAAACCUCUAUGAAAGUCAUGUCAAGUGUUAUCUUUCUUUUUUCCUCAUUUUUACUUGCCUUAAUUAUCUUUGCUUGCAUUUAUAUUCUUGGUUGAUCUUGUUUAGUGCUUAAAGUUUUAAGCUUUAAUUGAUAUUAAGGGAAAGGUGAAAUCUUUUGUUUAAAAUCCAAUUCACCUCUCUUCGCCAUGUAUCGCAAGCUUAUUUAUCUAACAAAUUUCACUGUUGACAAGCUUGUUUCAAGCCAUAGAGUGAUUGUUGCAAAUUACACAUAGGUUUAGAAUAUGUGUUGCAUGCACCUUAAAGCUCAUAUGUCAAGACUAAAACCCAAGAAGCCAUAACUUGUGGAAAGCUAUCAAUAAGAGUAACCCACUUAACUUAAGCAAGCCUCUAAACAAAUAAAUCUAAUUACUCAAAAUUCAUCAUAGGACUCAUCACCAUGGUGUUAGGUAUAAGCCUUGCAGCCAACCAGAUUGCUCAAGGUUUAUAUCCUUAAUCAUGCAAUAGGAAACUCAUAACAAGUGAUCAAAGGUUUUCCUUCAUCAAUAAGCAAUUGUACAUAGGCUUAUUAGAUGAAGUUUGAGGAAUUGACAUGCCUUGCAAGGGAAUUGUAAAUUGUUACAAUUAUGAGAUCCAUAUGCGUCAAAGUAUAAUUCCUAAAUUAAUCCUAGUCGAUGUAUCAUUGAGACUGGAUAUUAAUUAUGCUUAUAGAUGAGCACAUUUAAUGUUCUUUACUUGUGAAGUAAACAACCGAUCUCAUAGGUUGAAGUAUGAAGAUACUUUGAAUUAGAAUGUGGGUACUUGUUUUUGGAACAAGUUCACUGAACAUGAAUUGCCAUGAAGAUUCAAUUUGAUAUGUCACUCAAGUGUCUAUGGAAUAUUUACUCAUGUGACAAUCGUGCAAGUGAUCCUCAGACUUAAGAUGCCAGGUUAUCUUGUACGAGGAUUGAUAUACGUUGAUAUCAUCCCUCUAGGUCCUAACUAAAGAUGCACACACAGGAUGCUGUUGGGUAUAGCAUGAAACAUAUGAAGGCAAAUAAGUGGUCAAGAGAGGAUUCACCAUUCUAAGAGAUUAAGGAGAUGUGUCUUGAUUGAUCUUGCCUUGAAUUAGCUUAAUGAAGUCUUUGGCCAAAGCAAGAUGGAUUUUAGAAAAGAAGUUUUCCAUAAUCCAUGAUAGCUAAUUAGUGGUUGCAAGAACUAAUAUAGAAACAUCAAGGAGUAGACACUACACCAUGCUCUUAAGAUUUCUAAGACACUUGGUGAAGGGAUUGAAUUGCAUUAAAUGACUGAUCAUUGAAAGGUUAAGUCAAACUGUCUUAACUCUUCUAACAUUUAGGUGGCCGAGUUGGAUUGCUAAAUCCCGCUCUUGGUCUAUGAACUUUAGAUAGUUAAUUUGAUUAAUGAUAAAUUCAAAGUAGUUUGAAUUUAUCUAAUCCAAAGUUUAAGCAUUAUAUCUUAAGUUUAUUCGAAGUCGCUAUUCUAAUAACAUUACAUAUCUCUACUAUUUAGUUUUGAGCCAACACUCUUUAAAAUUAUAAAUUUAGUAAAGACAAACUUAAAGCCAUAGGAGCUAAAUGUGACCAACUCCGCAAAGAGACUCACUCUCAUGUUUCAAAUCUUAAAAGCAAGAGAAAAUAGUGACUUUACCAAAAAAGCUUAACUUGAACAAUCUCAUCGGUACUUCUCUUUAUAAUCUUAAGUAAGAAUGAACUCAUGACUUAAUGAAACAAGACUAUUCUUUUUCUUUUUGCUUUCAAAACUUUGAUAGCUAAAUCAUAUUACUUGUCAUUCUUUUCAUCUCUUCUCUUUGUAGUGAACUCAUAAUGAAACAGAAGGCAUAGUUGGGAGUCUUUGGCAGUGAUUGGCUCGAUCAAGCAUUGCUUCAUUCUAGAGUUGCAGCUGAAUUUCUUUGUUUUAUUCUUAAUUUUUGCACUUUCUUAUUAAAUUUUAGCCAUCGUAGAUUGUGGUAGUAAUUUAUAGUUUAAACAAAUAUAUAUUGAAACAAUAAUCAUUAUGUAAAAUUAUAAUAAUACAAAUAGUGGGCUUUUCUAUAUCCUUUUUUAAUGAGCAGAAAAACAAAUCUAGCAGAAAACAUUAUAAUGAGGUUUAUAUACAAACUAAAAAAGAACCCUACUACUAAUAUAAUUACAAGAAUAACCCAACCACUAAUCAAUAAUUACAAAUAACUCAAAUGCUUACAAAUAUCAACACAUCCCCUCAAGAUGAGCAUGUAUAUAUAUUUUCAAUACUCAUAUUGCCAAGUAAGUUAUGGAGUUGAGCUGGUUGUAGUGCUUUUGUAAAAAAUAUUUGCAAGGUGCAAUUGUGUGGGAACAUAGUUUGUAACCAUUUUGCUAUUCAAAACCUUUUCUUUUAUGAAAUGGCAAUCUAAUUCAGUAUGCUUUGUCUUCUCGUGGAAGAUUGGGUUCCUACAUAUGUGCAAAGUCGACUGAUUGUUGCAAAAGAACUCUACUAUUUUAGCAUUUUUUAUGCCAAAGUCUUUAAACAGAUAUAAAAACCACAUAAUUUUCACAACAGGUGGAAGCCAUUGCUCUAUAUUUUGCAUCUAUGGAGCUUUUGGCCGCCAUAGUUUGUUGCUUUGAUUUCUAACUUAUAAGAGGAAUACCAAGAAAUAUGCCAAAGCUUGUGAUAGAUUUUCUAGUAUCUUGACAAUUAACCCAAUCAUUAUCAGAAUAAGCCCUUAAUGUCAAAUCUGCAUUUGAAGAUAAUAGUAUACUUUGGCUUAUUGUACCCUUAAAAUACCUUAAAACCUUAUGUGGAACUUGCAUAUGAACAAUGGAUGGCUUAUCUAUAAACUAAGACAAGACUAGCACUAUAAACAUAAUAUUUAGCAUGGUAAUAGACUUACCAACCAAUUAUCCAUAGCUAGAUAAGUUCUAUCAAGGGAUCAUCAUUCCAUCUGGAAAUUUUUUUACUAUAAUCAAUUCGAUUUUAGCCCAUCAUAGAUUGUGGUAGUAAUUUAUAGUUUAUACAAAUAUAUAUUGAAAUAAUAAUCAUUACGUAAAAUUAUAAUAAUACAAAUAGUAGGUAUUUCUAUAUGUUUUUUUUUAUUAUCUUUUCUAGUGUUUAGGUGGAAGUAUUUGUAUCAUAUAUUGAAACAAUAAACUUGUCACGACCCAAAUUCUGGGCCAUGACCGGGGCAUGGGCCCAAUGGAUGUAGCCCACUAAGCCCAAGCGAACCUAUUUACAUGACCUGUCCAUUAUUCCAUUAAAGUUACUAAAGUCACAUUUCAUAAUUUCGAAUCAAGAUAAUGCUAACCAUUGCCAACUCGUGGUGGCAUUACCAAUCAAAUAUACAUGUAUUAUCUAAAACAUAUGUCUUAAUAAUUUACAUUGGGUUUGUCUAUUCACAACAAAAAGAGUACUCGACUUCUAGCGGAGAGACUCAGGCAAAAGUACAACUAUUGAAUGUCGAGACACCUACCAAGAGUCGAAUCUACGAAGACACCUUGAUCUAGUUACCGACUGCCUCCUGAUCUGAAAACAUGAAGUUGAAAACGAUGAGUACAAACUUAGUGAGUGAACAUAAGAAGGGAACAAGUAAACGAGAAGGAAAGUUUAAAGAAAUUGUGAUGCAUUUGUUUCAAAAACAAUGCAAUUGAUUUAAUUUCUUACUAAAACCCCUCCCUUCAAACUUUGAUUAAUAACCUCAUAGUGUUGCAAAAGCCCAUGAUCAAUCCAUAAAGUUAAAUGGGUAAAAAAUAUGUCAAAAUCAAGCAAGGUAGGAAGUUUCUCACUGCAGCGAGAUUUAGGAGGCCAAAACAGAAAGUUUCUCGCUGCAGCAAGAAAUAGUGUUAGUUUGCAUGUAUUUCAGUUUUUCUAUCAUAUCUCCCAAUAAAUAAGUCCAAUUGAUCUUAUUUUUCAUCCAUUAGAAAGAUAAGAGGUAGGGCUACAACUUUUAUGUUUACCACUUUUUCGAAUUAGGACGGGAAGGUGGUCGAAAUCUUCAUCGAAGUGAAAGUACUACACUAGAACUCAAGAGUUGCUCGCUGCAGCGAGUUUCUAACGGCCAAAAUAGAAUGUUUCUCGCUGCAGCGAGAAUACUUUCUCUUUGCACCGAGAAGCAGGGCACCUAAAUGUAAAAAGGACCUCCUUUGCACUAAAAAUCCAUUUGGUGCUGCAAUAAAAACUAAUUUGCAAGAAAAGGGAAAAUUCUCAAGAUUCAUCAUGCCAAUUUCAACAUGCCAUACAAUCACAUUUUACAAUCACAGACAUUCUAUCACAUGUCUAUAGAUAUAAUCAUAUAUAACACCUACACCACCCCACCUUCUUCAGCUCUUGUGCACUCCCUGCAUGCACAAGGCAAUACCACCAUAUGUGCACUCCCUACUCGCUCAUUUCAAUGUCAUCAUGUGUGCACUCCCUACUCGCACACCUUAUUAUCAUGAUACAACAUCAUUUAUCAUUGCACAACAUACAUUCAAAUAUGUAUACCAACACAAUAUAAGAGCACAUGAAUUCAUCCUCUUUACACAUUUUACACCUUUUACAACAUCAAAGCACUUAUUAAGGGCUUGUUCCCAAGCACCCAUUUUUAAUGAAAAGUUGGAUAAAAUCAUGCAAAUAAUUCAUCUAAACACAAUUCUAUUUUCUAAAAUAAUUUUGAAAUGCAAGUUCACUCACCGGUAUUGUUGAACCUUUAAUCGACUCUAACCUCUACUAAUGGUUCAAAUGGGGCUGUGGGGCUUCGUUGGAACCUAUCACACAUAAAAACAUCACAACCAAUCCAAUUUACAUAAAUAUCACUUCAAAAGCUAGUUUCUAAUUCAAGUUCUACUAGUCAUUUCUAAUUGGCUUCCAACUAUAUCAAAUGGCUAUUCCUUGCACUACUCUAAUCACACUAAAAAUGAAUAAAUAACCUCAAUAAUAAAACAGCUCAUAAUCCCAAUUACUAGCCAUUAUCAACAACUUAAAACCAAGCCCAGUUCAUCACUCACUUUAGGGUUUCUUCGUAGCUGAAUUCUCUUCCAAUAGCUUCCAAACAAAUGUGGAAAGUCUCUCUCUCUCUCUCUUUCUCUCUCUAAAAUGCCCAACUAGUGAGAGAAAGUAUUAGAGUAAGGCUUUUCAAGGGUUUUAAAGAGAGUGAAAAAGCACAAAGGUUCUAUGAAAGGGUGCACAAAAGCAUGAAAAUUAGAGCUAGUUUGAGAAAGGUUAUGGAGGUUUCAUAUCAAGCUUUCAUGAAGGAUGAAAGCAAUGUGAGAUGAGAGGAAGGAGAAGAAGAAGAAGAAGCUGCUAGAGAAUGAAGAAGCUACUGGAAGAAAAAUAUAUUUAUAGCUCAAGCUUAUCCAACUCCACUUAAAUUACGAAAAUACCCUCAGCUAGUUAGCUAGUUCUCCUCUAACCCUUUGUGCAAUCUUUUUACUCUUUUGACACCAAGACAAGGUCCAUAAUAGUCUAAAAGUACUCGAGUUCAAAAAAACUUAAAUUUUUUACUUGGGGUGUAAAAUGACCAUUUUACCCUUGUUGUGAAAGUUUUUGUCACUUCCAGUUUUCUUCGUGUUUUCAUCAUUAUACAUCAUUCAUUCGGUCCUUAUGCCCACUUAGACCUUAAAAUAUUAGAAAACCUUCUUCUGGAAGCUUAUUAGAGGAAAUGAUGAAAUUACCCUUAGUCUAUGUUAUCGCGUCUACUUUUAAUUACGAGUCUAUAGAGGUCGAGGUCUCACAUUCUCCCCCACUUAAAGAAAUUCGGUCCCCGAAUUUAAAUUUAACUAUAAGGUAACUUACCUCUAUGCAUCAAAGAGGUGGGAUACUUUGUCCGUAUUUCCUCCUUAGCCUCCCAUGUUACCUCCUCAUUGGUUUGAUUUCGCCAUAACACUUUCACUGAGGCUACAUUUUUUGAACGAAGCUUUUUGACUUGCCGAUCAAGGAUAGCUACUGGUUGCUCCUCAUAGGUCAAAUCAUCAUUCAGCUAGAUGGUUUCAUACUGUAUUACAUGAGAUGGAUCUGGGUUAUAUUUCCUAAGCAUUGACACAUGGAAUACGGGGUGAAUAUUCGAGAGGUUUGGUGGUAGCACCAAACGAUAAGCCACUACUCCAACCCUUUCUAAGAUCUCGAAGGGCCCUAUAUAUCAAGGACUUAAUUUUCCUUUCUUGCCGAACCUCAUUACCCCUUUUGUUGGUGAGACCUUUAAAAAUACAUGAUCCCCCACUUGAAACUCCAAGUCUCUCCGUCAAUUAUCAGCAUAUGAUUUUUGUCUACUUUGUACUAAUAACAUCCUUUAUCAAAUCAUGUGUAUUUUCUCGGUGGCAUCCCGCACCAACUCAGACCCCAAGAGUUUCCUUUCUCCCACCUCUAGCCAUCCAAUAGGUGACCUGAACCUCCGUCCAUAUAAUGCUUCAAAUGGUGCCAUCUGGAUGCUAGCUUGGAAACUGUUGUUGUAGGCAAACUCUACUAAGGGUAGAUAUCGAUCCCACUUGACCCCAAGGUCUAUUACACAGGCCCUAAACAUAUCUUCCAAUAUCUGUAUCGUCCGUUUCGAUUGCCCAUCCGUCUGAGGGUGGAAAGCUGUGCUAAAAUCCAACUUAGUGCCCAAUGCUUCCUGUAGCUUUUCCUAGAACCUAUUGGUGAAUUGUGCCCCCCGGUCGGAUACUAUAGAAACAGGAAUGCCAUGCAGCCGUAUUAUCUCGUUUACAUAAAGCUAGGUGUACUGGGUGGCCCCGUAUGUAGUUUUAACUUGAAGGAAGUAAGCUGAUUUCGUUAACUGAUCUACUAUGACCCAGAUCGAGUCAUAACCCCACUAGUCCGAGGCAAACCCAUUACAAAGUCCAUUGCAAUAUGCCUCCCACUUCGAUUCGGGCAACGGUAAUGGCUGUAGUAGCCUUGCAAGCCUUUGAUGCUCGGCCUUAACCUGUUGACAAACCAGGCUUUUGGAGACGAACUCAUCUACAUCUUUCUUGAGUCCUUCCCACCAAUACACCUCCUUCAAAUCUUGAUACAUCUUUAUAGCCCCUGGAUGUACCACAUAGGCUACAUGUGCGCUUGCUCCAAUAUUUCUCUCCUCAAUCCAUCACUAGCGGGCACAUAAAGUCUAGCUCCAUACCUCAACACUCCAUCUGUGCCUUUAGUAAAGAUUUUCCCUUUCCUUCCUUAAGGGUCCUCUAAGGCCUUAGCUACGAACUCAUCUUUACUUUGUGCUUUUUUAAUCUGGUCCAUUAAAAUAGGCCUUACUCUAAAAAUGUGCUAGCAAUGCAUUUGCCUCCGAAACUUCCAAAUGCACACCCUUGUCUCCCAAGUUGUGCAUCUCCCUAAUCAAGAAUCUCCUAUCUAUGGAGAUAUGUGCCAAGCUUCCCAUCGAUUUUCGAGUCAAAGUAUCCGCCACUACAUUUGCCUUACCAAUAUGGUAAAGAAUAGUACAAUCAUAAUCUUUUAGCAACUCCAUCCAUCUACGUUGUUGUAUGUAAAACCCGACUCUAUAAACACAUGCCAUCACAUACAUGCACUGAGUAGCAUGUUAUUACGCUAAGAAAGCUCCUAAGAAUAUACAAAACCUUGUAUUGUACCUAAUGCUACACUUGAGUUGAUUUAGCCUCGAACUAGUUCAAAUAGGAAUCGUAGGAUGAAAUUUAAUAUUUUACAGUCUAGGAAUGACUAAAAAUGAUUGUUCGGAGUUCGAGGAUUCAUUUGGGGAAAAAUUGAAAAUUUUGAUGUUCAGGGGCAAAAUCGUCAUUUUACCACCUAAGAUAAUAAUAUGAUCAUGGAGUGAAAUUUUUGACCAAGAUUAACUAUUUGGAGUAUAAUUUAAUGAUAGGAAGUGAAAAUUUUCAAUUCCGACAAUUUUCGAAACAUAGGGGCAAAACAGUAAUUUUGUCACCCCGACGUAAAACCGUAAUUUUUACCACCCAAAACUUGUCAAAAUCAUAGGAUUUAUUUAUUUUUGGUAUGAAUAACUAUGGUAUUUUAAGUGGUGAAAAAAUUGAAGUUUAAAGGAUGCCAAUGGAAAAGUGACACAUGGCACUUUUUAAUGAUUUAAUAUUAUUUUAAAGGAAAAUCAGCCCAUUUAAACCCCACAUCAGGUGAUGGUCGGCCAUAAGGAGAAAAUAAGAGAGAAAAUAGAGGGGAAAGGAAGAAAAGAGAAAAACCAAAGAAAAACUAGAAAAUUCAAAGGGGAAUUCACAUUUUUCAUCCAUUUACACGUUUAACGGUAAGAUUUUUCAACUUUAGCUUGAUUUCUACCUUUCCUAUGCCUUUGUUUCCAUUUAGCAUGCUUGAGAAGAGAGAUCAAAAGUGAUACCAAGGGAUGGCCGAAUUUCAAGGGGAAGGAUUUUGAAAUUUUUAUGUUUUGAUUCUUAGUUAAAUUGGUAGUUUUAGUUAGUUAAAUGUGUAUAGAAAUCAAAUAGGGCAAGAAAGCAUGAAAUUCUCACAAUACCCACCCUUGGCCGAAUAUUCAAUGAUGUACAAUGAUGAUGAACUGAUUUUUAUUCUAAGAGAAAUGAAGAGAAAAUGAUGAAAAAUGGUUAAAUGUGAUAGAAAAAUAAAGUGGAAAAUUAAUCGAGUUAAUGUCUCAUUUUUGACGGAAUUUUUCAAGGAGGAAAGUGAGCUGAUUUUGGUGAUUUUAGAGGGUUAUUGGCUGAUAUUUAAUGUUUAGAAAUGUUGGAGAGAAAAUGGGAUAAUUUAGAGAUAAAAUGGAGCGCGUAAGCAAUUUAUCAAGUAAAGUGCCAAAAAUAGGUUAAUACCGCGUUUAAGCCGUUUUAGGCUAUUGCAUUUCAUACCAUGCAUUAGUAUAGGAUUUAAGUCAAUUAUAUAGUGAUUUAGCAUCAAUGUGGUGAAUUGUGUAAUUUUUGCAAUGUGUAUAGGAGGAGAGCCUUCCGGUAAAAGCAAGGAAGUCGUACCCGACGAACAGUGUCGGGGCACUUAGAAAGCAAUUAAUUUGUACAAACUAUGAGAAAGCCUAUUAUUAUUGUAAAUUAUCUAGAGUUUAUUUUUAAAUGCUCUUUAUGUAUUUUAUGAAACGAAAUUAAAAUGGGACUUUUGAUGUUUUAGAAAUAAAUGUGACAAAUAAAUAUAUUGUGUGGAUUAUAUGAAAUAAAAAACUUUUGAUCAUGAAAUUGAGUAAUUGGAGGCUACCAAUUGUCUUGAAAAAUAUAUUUUCCUAUGAAUGGCUUAUGAUAUAUGAGUAUAUGUGGCUAUAUUUUAUAAUUACAUUGGGAAUUUAUGUAAGCUGUCUUUUACUAUGCAAGCUGGAUAAAUAAAUAAAAGCCACGUUAUAUUAUCGAAAUUUUAUUAAAAUUGGUGGGUUUAGUCACUACAGUGAUGAGUUUUCGUGGACUGCCUAUUAGAGGGGUACAAUAAACCCGGUUGCAUAGUUACUCAGGUUGUAGAGGUGAGGAAGGUAACUCCCGGGGUAGUGUUAAAGCUCACUUCACAUCGAACCCCCACGUGAAUGUGUAACUCGGCCAACGCCAAGGAACGGCUUGUUUUCAAAACUAACAUGUGUUUAACAUGUAAAUAUCUUAACAACCUUGGCGGACUCGAUUAGAUGCCUCGGCCAAGGUAUCCCCGAGGACUAGUUUUUUACUUGAGCCCUGUUUCUAAUAAAAGUCAUAAGCCUUAACAACUGUUUUGGUAAAUUACAAAUAUUUUAUGGUUUAAGAAAUAAAUUGAAAACCUUAUGAAAUGGUUUGUGAUUUGUUGUUUAAACUUGCCUCUAUUUUACUCGCCUUUAGAUAUUUAUGACAAUGUCUGUUUACUCAUUGAGAUUGCAAAAUCUCACCCACCUCCUUUCCAAAUAUUUCAGGCUUGUGGUAGCUUGUAGAUACCUGAUUUUGUCGAGGAUUCCAGUUGACCCCUCUAUCCCACAGACAAUAGGUUACUGUCACCAACACUUGGUGUAUUUAUGGGCCACUUGUCAUUGUAAUUAUUAUCGUACAUUAUAACUUUGUAAAUUAUUGUAUGUAUAAAUUUAUUGUACUUCCACGUUGCAAAAGAUUACUUACACGUGUUUCUAUAAAUAUUGUUUUAUAUAAAAAUACUAUAUUUUAAUCAAUAUUUUGAAUAGUAAUAUUUGUCUAUAAAUCUUUUUAAAACAAAAAUAAAAUAAUUUUUGUCUUUUAAUUUACUUGAGCCGAAAACGACUGGUAAUUGUUUAAAACGGAAUGUUUAACAACGAUUGCUCACAGGAAAGGCAAGAAACUAAUACGUAAGCCUUGCGGGGUUCCGAUUGGCAUUUUGGGUAAUGAGUGUCAAUCGAGACGUCGCAGCGGUUAUCAUGGGCCCCGAUAGAGGUUCUGGGUCGUGACACUGUAAGUUAAGAUCCUUCUACUGAAAUAUGUACUUUAGGCUUUUGUGGUCCGUAUAUAUCUCGCAAGUCUCACCAUACAAGUAAUGCCUCCAAAUCUUUAAGGCAAACACGAUUGCUGCCAUCUCCAAAUCGUGUGCGGGGUAAUUCUGCUCAUGCCUUUUAAGUUGCCUUGAUGCAUAAGCAAUCACCUUCCCAUGCUGCAUUAAUACACACCCUAAACCAACCCGCGAUGCAUCACAAAAUACCGUCUAACCCUCUGUGCUUUGUGGUAGGCUUAAUACCGAAGCUGUGGUGAGACAUGCCUUAAGCUUCUCAAAAGCAUCAGACCACUCAAAUUUUGUAUCUUUACGUGUCAGCUUAGUCAGAGGGGCAACUAUUUUGGAGAAGUCUUUCACGAAACGACGAUAAUAGCCAGCCAAACCCAAAAAGCUUUUAAUCUCCAUAACUGAUGUUAUCCUUGGCCACUUUUCCACUGCCUUAACUUUCUUUGUAUCGACUGGUACCCCAUCCUUAGAUACCACAUGUCCCAAGAAUGCAACACUUUCUAGCCAAAACUCACACUCGGAGAACUUAGCAUACAAUCGAUGUUCUCUCAAAGUUUGGAGCACUAUCUUAAGAUGCUGCUCAUGCUCCUCUCGACUCUUCAAGUAGAUCAAGAUGUCAUCAAUAAACACCACAACAAACUUGUCCAAAUAUGGCUUGAACACUCGGUUCAUCAAAUUUAUAAAAGGUCGCAAGGGCAUUCGUGAGCCCGAAUGACAUCACCAAGAACUCAUAGUGCCCGUACCUUGUUUGGAAUGCAGUCUUUGGUAUAUCUUCAUUUCAGAUCCUCAACCGAUGGUACCUAGAUCGUAAAUCUAUCUUGGAGAAACAUUGUGCUCCUUGUAGUUGAUCAAAUAAAUCAUCUAUUCUUAGAAGAGGGUACUUAUUCUUCACUGUUACUUUAUUAAGCUGUCGGUAGCCAAUGAACAAUCUCAACGACCCAUCUUUCUUCUUUACAAAUAACACCGGUGCUCCCGAUGGUGAGACGCUAGGACGGAUGAAGCCUUUAUCCAACAAAUCUUCUAACUGAUCCUUAAGCUCCUUAAGCUCCACAAGUGCCAUUCUAUAUGGGGGUAUGGAUAUAGGUCUAGUGUCGGAAAUCAAAUCUAUGCAAAAUUCAAUCUCCCGCUUAAGAGGCAAACUGGGUAAUUCCUCGGGAAACACAUCCAUGAACUCAUUCACCACCGACACUUGGCUUAUAUCUCCAACCUUCGCUUGAGUAUCCCUUACCACAGCCAAGUAACCUGAACAACCCUGUCGUAAUAACCUUCUGGUAGACAUGACUGAUAUCAAAUUUGUUGAAGCAUUGCUUCUAUCCCCCUGAAUACUAAAUGAUGGUUCACCGGGAAAAUCAAAUUUAACCAAUUUGUGAUAGCAGUCCACACUGGCAUGGCAGGGUGAUAGCCAAUCCAUCCCCAAGAUCACGUCAAAAUCUAAGGUGUCUAACACCACUAAAUUUACCAAAGUAUCCUUAUCCUUGACUCGAACUACACAGGACUCAUAUUCCUAUCGGCCACAAAUACCUCCUUUAAAGGAAUAGACACCACUAAUUGUUCUUCUCUCCUAAUACGAUCCUUACCCAAAAGAGACGCAAAAUAGGGAGAAAUAAAAGAGUGGGUAGCACCAAGAUCAAACAAUACCCGAGCAUUCAUAUUACAAACAGAAAGAAUACUGGAGACCACUGCAUUGGAUGUCUAGGCCUCUUGCAAUGUUAAAGCAAACACCCUUGCUUGACCCCUACCGACAGAACUCUGACGUCUAGACCUAGAAGGCCUGCCCUGAGAGGAAGUACCAACACCUCUACCUCUUGAUCCACUAGCCUCCUGACCUGAUGAGGCAGCAACUGAAGGAGCAAACGAAGCUGGCUAGGUGGAACCACGAGCAGAAUCUUGUGAUUGAUAAGCUAUCGGACAAUUCCUCUUAAUAUGUCCAGGUUGACCACACCUAAAACAAACUCUUGUAGUAAGAAAACAUCAUCCUUUAUGUCGUACCCCACAAGUACUGCAAGGGUUGAUAACUUGACUACUCUACCUUGAAUCUUGCUACCUUCCCCCACCAAAGGUUUUCUACCCUGAUCCAACAUUGGCACUAACCACAUCACUCCCCCUUGGGGUAACCGUGAUUCCUUUUGUGGGCCCUGACAGCUAGAAGACGGAAUACCACUGCUGAAAUCCCUACGACCUUGAUAACCCUCUAUCUUGGCCUUUUUUGCUCUAUCCCCCAUAGCUCUACUAUCACUGGUCCUCAUCUCAAUUUGCUGAGCGCAAUCCACUACUGCGGAGUAAGUACUGAAAUCUUGGGAUGCCACAACCAUAAACAAUGGCUCCACUAGCCCAUCCACAAACCUUUGUAUCUUCAUCUCCUCUAUAGCAACUACAUAGGGUGCAUACCGAGCUAGAUGCGUGAAUUUGAUGUCAUAUUCUGACACCGUCAUACCUUGGGUCUGUACUAAGGCCUCAAACUCCCUAGCCCGUGCAUUACGUACACUGAGUGGUAAGAAUCGAUCUAAAAAGGCUGUAUUGAACUCAUUCCAAGUCAACAGUGCUGCAUCCGUUGGACUGCCUCUACACAAGGAGCUAUACCACUCUUGUGCCACGUCCUCUAAUCGGGAAGUGGCUAGCUCGACUGAUUAGGCACUGGAACAUCCCAAGGCUUUACAAAUUUUCUUCAUCUUAUCUAAGAAAAUCUAGGGCUUCUCCGAAGAAUCAGACCCUAAAAAUGACAAAGGCUUAAGUUUGAGAAAAUCAAGUAGAGAAAUCUCUAGAUGUCCCCUCUCAACCUCAUGAUGUUGGAGAUCGACCUGUCCUUAGGAGCUAGGGGAUUCUUGUACGGUAGGUCUCCCAUCCACUAUCCUUUGUAAUCAUCCAUACGGGUCACCAUCAUCUCUACAACCCGGUUAACUCCUUGUAGGCUCGCAGCCAAAUCUUCGAUGGUAAUACACUCGAUUGGUUGUCUAUCUACAUCACCCGAAGACUGUUCUUCCUCUCGCCUACUCACAAGUAUAUCCACCCUCACCGGUCUACUUGCCCUGCCACGUCUACCUCGACCCCUAAGGGUGGAUGCCCGUGGCCUAUCUGUCAGCUCAUCAGGAGCAUCUUGCUCUCCCAUCCGUCUUGAGGCAACUCGUGUCUUAGAAGGGAUUCUUACCUAGACAAGAGCAAACACCUAUUAUUAAACACAUUUUAUAGUCAUACUCAAAAGAAAAAGGUGGUUUCUAAGAUAGGGAAUCUAUACAGUCCCUUGGUUGUAAAAUGUGUCGUGGUUUAAACUUCACAAUCGAAGUUUCCAUAUAAAGACCCGACACUUCGCUAGACCAACAAAGGAAGUCCUAGGACCUAGACAACCUAGGGCUUUGAUACCAAGUCUGUCAUGACCCAAAUUUUGAGCCAUGACCGGCACAUGGGCCCAAUGGACGUAACCCACUAGGCCCAAGCCAACCUAUUUACAUGACCUGUCCAUUAUUCCAUUAAAGUUACUAAAGUCUUAUUUAAUAAUUUCGAAUCAAGAUAAUGCUAACCAUUGCCAACUCAUAGUGGCAUUACUAAUCAAAUAUACAUGUAUUAUCUAAAACAUAUGUCUUAAUAAUUUACAUUGGGUUUAUCUAUUCACAACAAAAAGAGUAUUUGACUUCCAACAGAGAGACUCAGGCGAAAGUACAGCUACUGAAUGCCGAGACACCUACCAAGAGUCGAAUUUAUGAGGACACCUUGAUCUAGUUACCGACUGCCUUCUGAUUUGAAAACAUGAAGUUGAAAACAGUGAGUACAAACUUAAUGAGUAAACAUAAAAAGGGAACAAGCAAACGAGAAGAAAAGUUUAAAGAAAUGGUGAUGCAUUUGUUUCAAAAACAAUGCAAUUGAUUUAAUUUCUUACUAAAACUCCUCCCUUCAAACUUUGAUUAAUAACCUCAUAGUGUUGCAAAAACCCAUGAUUAAUCCACGAAGUAAAAUGGGUGAAAAUAUGUCAAAAUCAAGCAAGGUAGCAAGCAUGGCAGCAAGUUUCUCACUGCAGCAAAGUUCAUUCUCGUUGCAGUGAGAUUCAGGAGGCCAAAACAGAAAGUUUCUCGCUGUAGUGAGAAACAAUGUUAGUUUGCAUAUGUUUUAGUUUUUUUAUCAUCUCUCCUGAUACAGAAGUCCAAUUGACCUAAUUUAAACCAUUAGAAAGCUAAGAGGCAGGGCUACAACUUUGAUGUUUACCACUUUUCUCAAUUCGAACCUGAAGGUGGUCGAAAUCUUCAUCUAAGUGAAAGUACUGCGUCAGAACCUGAGAGUUUCUCGCUGCAGCGAGAUUUAUUCUCGCUGCAGUGAGUUUCUGGUGGCCAAAAACAAAAUGUUUCUCGCUGCAGCGAGAAGCAGGGCACCUAAAUGUAAAAAAGACCUCUUUUGCACUAAAAAUCCAUUUAGUGCUGCAAUAAAAAUCAAUUUGCAAGAAAAGGGGAAAUUCUCAAGAUUCAUCAUGCCAUACAAUCACAUUUUACAAUCACACACAUUCUAUCACAUAUCUAUAGAUAUAAUCACACUACUCUAAUCACUUUCCUUGCACUACUCUAAUCACACUAAAAAUGAAUAAACAACCUCAAUGAUAAAACAACUCAUAAUCCCAAUUACUAGCCAUUAUCAACAACUUAAAACCAAGCCCAGUUCAUCACUCACCUUAGGGUUUCUUCGUAGCUGAAUUCUCUUCCAAUAGCUUCCAAACAAAUGUGGAAAGUCUCUCUCUCUCUCUCUUUUUCUCUAGAACGCCUAGCUAGUGAGAGAAAGUAUUAGAGUAAGGCUUUUCGAGGAUUUUAAAGAGAGCGAGUGAAAAAGCACAAAGGUUCUAAGAAAUGGUGCACAAAAGCAUGAAACUUAGAGCUAGUUUGAGAGAUUUUAUGGAGGUUUCAUAUCAAGCUUUCAUGGAGGAUGAAAGCAAUGUGAGAUGAGAGGAAGAAGAAGAAGAAGAAGCUACUGGAAGAAAAAGAUAUUUAUAGCUCAAGCUUAUCCAACUCUACUUAAAUUACGAAAAUGCCCUUAACCAGUUAGUAGUACUUAGUUAAAAGGGUAAUUCAGAAGUGAACCUGUGAAAUCUAGAUCUCCAUAGACACAUAACUAAAAGUAGACGUGAUAAUGCGAACUAGGGGCAAUUUCAUAAUUUCUCUUGGUGAGCUCCUACGAGUGGGUUUAUUUAAUGCUAUUAAGGUCUAAAUAGGCCUAAGGAAUGAAUGAAUGAUGUUUAUGAUGGUAAAUAAAUGAAGAAGAUAAAAAUAAUGAUAAUUUCCAUGGUAGGGGCAAAAUGGUCAUUUUGCAUCUCCAAUCUAAAUUUUUAUAUUUUCGUGAACCCGAGUCUUUCUAGACUACAUGGACCUUGUCUUAGUGUGAAAAGAGUAAAAGGUUGCACAAAGGAUAGGAGGAAGACAAAGUCACCAUGUUAAGGGCAUUUUGGUAAUUUAUGUGAAAAAUGGAUAAACUUUAUAUAUAAAUAUCUAAAGCUCCAGCAAUUUCUAGCAGCUUCUAGCCAUUUCUUCUUCCUCCCCUCUCUUCUCUCCAUUUCAUGUUUUCUUCAUCUUCCAUGGAAGCCUCCCAUGGUAACCCUAAACCUUGUGUUUUUCUACACCUUUUCAUAGGGUUUUUCAUACUUUUUCUCUUCUACACCUCAAAAGCCCUUAAAAGUCUUUCCUUGGUAUAUUUUCUCACUAGCUGGACAAGUGGAAAGAGAGAGCGAGAUUGUCCACAAUAGCUUGGAAGCUUUUGAAAAGGAAUUCAACUACAAAGAAAAAAACCACCAAGGUGAGUAAUUAAUUAGGUUUAAUUUUCAAGUUGUUGAUAAUGGUUGAUGAUUAGAGUGGUGAGUUACUCUAUUGUUGAGGUUGUUUAUUCACUCUUAGGGUGACUAGAGUGGUGUAAAUAACUAGCCACUUAAUGGCAAUCGGAAGCUAGUUAGGAAUAACUAGUAGAACUUGAUAUAGGAAAGAGCUUUUGGAAUUAUAUUAAUGCUAAUUUGGGUUGGUUGUGAUGUUGUGUGUGUAAAGGUUCCAACAAGGCCUCACAUGUCCAUUUGAAGCUAUAAUCGAAGUUAGAAUUGAUUAAAGAAUCAACAAGACUGGUGAGUGAAUUUGCAUUUCAAAAUGUUUUGGGGAAAUGCUUACAUGUUUUAAUGAAUCAUUUAGAAAUUCUAUUUGUUUUUGCUUUAAAAUUGCCCGAGAACAAGCCCUUGAUAAAUGGUCUCUAUGUUGUGACAUGUGGUUAUUAUGGAUUCAUGCACUACUACAUUAUGUUGACACACACACACACACACACACACACACACACACACACAUAUAUAUAUAUAUACGAGUAUAUGUUGUGCAUUGAUGAAUAAUGUUGUGUAAUGAUAUUGACCCGGCUAUGUGCGAGUAGGGAGUGCGCAUAAGCCGAUGCUGACCCAGCUAUGUGCGAGUAGUGACUGCACAUGAGCAGAUGCUGACCCAGCUAUGUGCAAGUAGGGAGUGCACAUGAGCUGAUGAUGAUGGGAUGGUAUGCAUGAUGACGGAUAUAUAUAUAUAUAUAUAUAUAUAUAUAUAUAUAAGUAUAUAGAUAUGUGUGUUACAAAAAAUUUAUGAAAAUAAUUGUGAUUAUGUUCUGUGUUGGCAUUGUUAAUUGCUCCUAAAUUGCUUUUCAUUUCAAUAAGAAAAUGGCUUUUAAUGUAAUAAGACCCUUUUUAGCUAAGUUGCUCUGUUUCUUACUGUAGGGAGGUUCAUUGUAGCUGGAACGAGAAACUCUCGGGUUGGAGGAAAGUUGCAAUGGCCUGAUUCUCGCUGCAGUGAGAAACUCUUGGGUUCUGAUGCAGUGCUUUCACUUCAAUGAAGAUUUUGACCACUUUCCCUUCCGAACUGAAAAAAGUGGUAAACAUAAAAGUUGUAGCCCUGCCUCUUAGCUUUCUAAUGGUCUACAAAUCAGGUCACUUUAACUUCUGUAGCCGGAGAUAUACUAGAAAAACUAAAACACAUACAAACUAACAUUGUUUCUCGCUGCAGCGAGAAACUUUCUAUUUUGGCCGCCUGAAUCUCACUACAGUGAGAAUGAACUUCACUGCAGCGAGAAACUUGCUGCCAUGCUUGCUACCUUCCUUGAUUUUGACAUAGUUUUCACCUGUUUAACUUCAUGGAUUGAUCUUGGGUUUUUGUAACACUGUGAGGUUAUUAAUCAAAGUUUGAAAUGAGGGAUUUUUAGUAAGAAACUAAAUCAAUUGCAUUGUUUUUGAAACAAGUGCAUCAUGAUUUCUAAAUUCUUCCUAUUGAUUGCUUGUUCCUAUCUUAUGUUCACUCAUUGAGUUUUAUACUCUCGUUUUUAAACUUCAUGUUUUCAGAUUCGAUGGCAAUUGAGACCUAGAUUGGGUGUCCACAUAUGCUCGUCUUCUUGGUAGGUACUAUGGCAUCUCAGUAGCUGUACCUUCACCCAUGGUCACUUCGCUAAUGGUCAAGAGUCUGUUACCUGUAAACAUGUAUAUGUAAUGUAAUCCGCUAGGAUUCAUGUUAUAAGUCAAAUAUGUAUAUUUUGGAUUAAUGAUGCCACUAUAAGCUAGCAAAUGGGUGACAUUAUUUUGACAUAAUACAAUUGUGAGUAUUGGGUUACUAUAAAAUGUUAUUGAAAUAUUUUUAGUUGAGAAUUACAAUAUGGGUUUUAGAAAUGAUAGUUUGGAAUGAUGAUCGGGAUUACAUAAAUAAGCUUGCUUGGGCUUAGUGGGUUAUGCCCAUUGGGCCCAUGCGCAGGUUAUAGCCCGAAAUUUGGGCUGUGACAGUUCGCUUGUUCUCCUCCAACCCUUUGUGCAAUCUUUUUACUCUUUUGACCCCAAGACAAGGUCCAUAAUAGUGUAAAAGUACUCGAGUUCAAAAAAACUUAAAAUUUUUUACUCGGGGUGUAAAAUGACCAUUUUACCCCUGUUGUGAAAAUUUUUGUCACUUCUAGUUUUCUUCAUGUUUUCAUCAUUAUACAUCAUUCAUUUGGUCCUUAUGCCCACUUAGACCUUAAAAUAUUAGAAAACCUUCUUCUGGAAGCUUAUUAGAGGAAAUGACGAAAUUACCUUAGUCUAUGUUAUCCCGUCUACUUCUAAUUACGAGUCUAUAGAGGUCAAGGUCUCAUAAAACUGUACUCAAAAGCAUAAUAAUACAAAUAUAUAUAUAUAUGAGAGAUCUAUUGUGCACUAUGUUAAAGUCUUAAUGGAGAUUGAGUUUUGGGUAUGAUGGAAGGAAGAAAGAAGGACUUGAUUCUGUUCUUUGAAUGAGCAGAAAAACAAAUCUAGCAAAAAACAUUGCAAUGAGGUUUAUAUACAAACUGAAAGAGAACCUUAUUACUAAAAUAAUUACAAGAAUACCCCUACCAGUAAUCAAUAAUUACAACUCAAAUGCUUACAAAUAUCAACACACUCUCUCAAGAUGAGCAUUUGUUUGCAAUACUCAUCUUGCCAUGUAAGGUAUGGAGUUGAGUUGCCUGUAGCGCUUUUGUAAAAAAUAUCUGCAAGUUGCAAUUGUGUGGGAACAUAGUUUGGAACAAUUGUUCCAUUCAAUACCCUUUCUUUUAUGAAUUUGCAAUCUAAUUCAAUAUGCUUUGUCCUCUCAUGGAAGACUGGGUUCCUACAUAUAUGCAAAGCCAACUGAUUGUUGCAAAAUAACUCCACUACUUUAGCAUCUUUUAUGCCAAAGUCUUUAAGUAGAUAGAAAAACCACAUAAUUUUUCAGAACAAGUGGAAGCCAUUGCUUUGUAUUCUGCCUCUGUGAAGCUUUUGCCACCACAGUCUAUUACUUUGAUUUCCAACUUAUAAGAAUGUCACGACCCAAUUUUUUAGUCAUGAUCGGCACAUGAGCCCAAUGGACGUAGCCCACUAAGCCUAAGCAAGCCUAUUUAUAUAAUCGUACUCAUCAUCCCGUCAACUAUUCUUACAUUUACAUCUCAUAAUCUCAACUCUUUAAGUACUUUAAUAGUAAUUUAUAACAAUCGAAAACUGCAUUUAUAUUAACCCAAAAUAACAUUAACUAUUGCCACUCAUGGUAGUUUUAUAAAUCAAAAUAUACAUAUAUGGUCUAAGGCAUACAUCUUAGUACUUUACAUCACAUGUACGUAUUUACAACAAAAAUAACUUUGGGCUUCUAACAGAGUGACCAAGGUGAAGGUGCAACUACGAAAUACAAAGAUACCUACCAAGGAUAUGAAUCUACGAGGACACCUCGACCUAGUUACUAGCUGCCUCUUGAUUUGAAAACAUGAAGUUGAAAAUGGUGAGUAUAAAUCCGAUGAGUGAAUAAAGGAAGGGAACAAGCAAACGAUAAGGAAAAUUUAAAGAAAUCAUGAUGCAUUUAUUUUCAAAAACAAUGCAAUUUAGUUUAGUUCUUAUUAAAACCCCUCAUUAAACCCUUAAUGAGUUAAUCACUUAACGAAAAGGCCCAUGCAUAACAAAGAAUUUGAAGAGUGAAAACUUUAAUAGUAUUCAAGCAAGUCAAGUCAAGUAAAACGACAAUACGUUGCAGCGAGAAUGAAUUUUCGCUGUAACGAAAUUUGGCUCGAAUUGUCAACUGGUAGAGGGUUUUCUUAGGUGGCCAAGGGUUUCUCACCAAAUCUCCUCAUUAUAAGCUUAAUUAAUUAAAUCCUUGAUGUUGAAAGUUCAUGUUCAACCAUGAUGUUAAAGAAGUGGAAAAUAUGUCAAAACCAAAUAGGGUAGCAUGCAUGACAGAAAGUUUCUUGCUGCAUCAAAAUUCAUUCUCGUUGCAGUCAGAGUUAGGCAGCAAAACAAAAAGUUUCUCGUUGCAAUGAGGAGCUUCAACAACUUUCUCACUGCAACAAGAAUACAUUCUCGCUACAGCGAGAAUCAAGCCAAUGUAACCCUCCAAACCCGAGAGUUUUUCGCCACAGCAAGAAACAGGACACCAACAACAAAUUUUCGUUCUCUCAAGAAAAGGCCAUUUAGCUGCAAACAUAAAAUCAACUUGAACAUGCUUAAAAAUUCCCAAGGUUUAACAUGCAAGAUUCACAUGUAUUACAACCAUAUACCAUACUCAUGAACUUUCUAUAACACACAUAUAUAUAUACACAUCAUCAUGCAUACCAUCCCGCCAUCAUCAACUCAUGUGCAUUCCCCACUCGCACAUAGCUGGGUCAUCAUCAACUCAUGUACACUCUCACACCACACAUGGUUGGGUCAUCAUCAUCACACAAAAAGGAACAUCCAAUGCAUAUUAUACAUAUCCACAUAUUGUGAUAACACAUGAACCAUUUAUAUGGCACAUUUUCACAAGAUAAAAACAUUUCACUAAAGGCUUGUUCCCCAAGUAUAUUUUUAAAGAAAAGUUGGAUAAAAAUCAUUCAAAUGUUUUACCUCAAAUACAUCUACAUUUUUCAAAGAAAUUUUGAAAUGCAAGUUCACUCACCGGUAUUCGUUAAAUCUUUACUCAACUCCAACUUCCUCUAUUGGUCCAAAUGGGGCUUCAUUGGAACCUAUCGUCACAUUGGCAUCACAAUUAACUUAAUUCAUAGAACUAUAAAUUCUAAAAGCUAUCUCCUAACUAGCACCCAAUUGCCAUUAAGUAGCUAUCUAUUUUCACUAUCCUCAUCACUCUAAAAUGACUAAUCAACCUCAACUACAAAACACUGACAAGUCUAAUCACUAGCCAUUCUCAACACUUAAAAAUCAACUCUAAUUUACUACUCACCUUGUUAGCUUUGCAAAUUUGAAAUUCUUUCCAAUAAUUUUCCAAGCUAUUAUAAAAGCUCCCUCUUGCUCCCUCUAAACACCUAGCUAGUGAGAAAAAGUAUGGAAGUAAGAUUUUUCAAGGGUUUUAAAGUGAAGGAGUAAAAGAGCACAAAGGUUCUAUGCAAAAGUACACAAAAGUAUGAAGAUUUGAGCUAUCUUAAGAGAGGUUAUGGAGGUUUCAUAACAAGCUUCCAUGGAGGAUGAAAGCAACGUGAGAUGGGAGGAAGAAAAAGAAAAAGAAGCUACUGGAAAUAUGAUAAGAAGCUAUUGGAAGAUGAUAUUUAUAGCUCAAGCUUAUCCAACUCCACUUAAACUACGAAAAUGCCCUUAGCAAGUUAGCUUGUUCUUCUCCAAUCCUUUGUGCAAUCUUUUUACUCUUUUGACACUGAGGCUAGGUCCACAAUGGACUAAAAAUACUCGAGUUUACAAAAACUUAAAAUUUUGACCCGAGAUGAAAAAUAACCAUUUUGCCCCUUCCUUGGAAAUCAUCAUUAUUUUUAUUUUCUUCGUCAGUUUGCCCUUAUUUUCAUCAUUCAUGUAAGCCUUAGGCCUACUUAGGACUCAAUAUUGUUUGAAAGUCUACUUCUAGGGGCUCACUAAGGAAAUGACGAAAUUACCUUUGGCCCAUGUUAUCGUGUCUACACUUAGUCACGAGUCUAUAAAGAUCAAGGUCUCACAAAGAAUUACCAAGAAAUAUGCCAAAGCUUGUGAUAGAUUUUCUAGUAUCUUGACAAUUGGCCUGUUGUCAAAGCUUAUUAUCAAAAUAAACUCUUAAUGUCAAAUUUGCAUUUGAAGAUAAUUGUAUACCUUGGCCUGUUGCACCCUUAAAAUCCCUUAAAACCCUAUGUGCAACUUGCAUAUGAACAAUGGAUGGCUUAUCUAUAAACUAAGACAAAACUAGCACUAUAAUAUAAUAUCUAGUCAAAUAAUAGACUUACCAACUAAUUAUUUAUAGCUAGUUGAGUUUUCUAGCAAGGGAUCAUCACUGCAUCUAGACAUUUUUUUACUGUAAUCAAUUAGAGUUGAUGAUAGUUUGGAAUCAAGAAACCCAUAUUCAUCAAGUAAAUCCAAUGUGUAAUUCCUUUAGCAAACUCAUAUGCCCUUCACUAAUCUAGCAAUCAUCUCCAAGCCCAAGAAAUAUUUGGGAUUUCCCAAAUCCUUUGCUUCAAAUUUGAAUCCAAGUGUUGUUUAACUUCAUCUGCAAUUCUUGCAAAGAAGCUAGCUACCAAUAUGUCAUCAACAUAAACUAAAAGAGAUACAAAGUUGUUUCCAAUACCUUUAGUAAAUAAUGAGUAAUUUGAAUUUGAUUGAGCAAAACCAAAUUGAAGUAAUCAAUUUGUAAGCUUUGAAAUUUGCUUUAGUUUUGAAAUCACAAAAUUCAAUGAUCUAAAUAUGCUCAUGAGCCUAAAAGAAAUGUCUUUGAAAUGGAAGAACUUUCAUUGAAAAGUUUUUAAAGUUAUUUGUGAAAAAUACAAUAACUUGAAUGCUUUAAUAACAAGUUCCAACAAAGAAUUGACUUUUGUAACUGAGGUAGGGAUUCCUUGAAAGAUAGAAAGCUAUAUUUCUUCCAUGUAUUAGGAAGGAAUCGACUUGUCAAGAAAAAAACAACCGAUUCUCAAAAUAUAGGGCUAUUGGAUUGGAAAAAUCGAUCUCUCAAGAAGCGAAGGGUUGAUUCCUAUGAAGGCAGAAAUAUAAAGAAAAAGGAUAGAAUAGAAAGAAUUGACUUCUUAAGUCUCCAAUGAUUGAUUCCUUAAGGUAAAAUGAAGAAAGGUCAUAAACUUGUUAAAGAAGCUAAAGGGGGAGAUUUUGAGCUGGAAAACCAAAAUUUUAAAUUUUAAAGUAGCGCUCAAAGGCACAACAAAUCAACGUUUGAAAAAUGGAAUGAUGGAUUCAUGUGUAACAUAAUGUUUUAUCCUUGAAGCAAAUUAAGGAGAACCAACUAUUCAAAUGAGCAAUGAUUGAAUCCUAGAAAAUAGAGAGCAUCAAGCUUGACGGUAAAGUAUGAAGAAUUAAUUUGUGAAGAGUUCAAUGAUCGAUUCCUUGGAAGCAUAAUGUCCUAAGGUACCAAAGAAUUGACUUCUCAAAUAGGCAAUGAUCGAUUCCUGAAUACUGACAGACUUGAUUCAAGUGGCCUGAAUGUUUUGAAUUUUUUAAUCCUUUUUCUUUUUAAUGGGUAGAUUUUGAGAGGGGCUAUAAAUACCUCUAAGAACUCCAUUUUAAGCAAAAGAGAGAAUCCCCUUUCUUUCUAACAGGUAGAAAAGAGCUUCAUUCAAAAAGGAGAGAAAAGCUUUAGUUCUUAAGUUCAUAUCUUUCUCACUUUACAAAUCCUCUCAAAAACAGAGCAUCAGCUUCAAGCUUAAGUACUUUGAUGUUUACUUUAUUCUCCUAUACUUCAAGCCUUUCAAUCUACCUAGCCAAAGACACCACACUUUAUAAUCCAUUCUUGAAAGGUUUUACCUCCUUGAAAAGGUAGAUAGGUUAUACUUGAGCCUUGAAAAAGUAAGCUUGGUUAUACCUCCAUUGUAAAAGGUAGAUAAGUUGUGAUUUAACCUUGAAAAGGUAAUGACUUGUUGAUAAGUUAUGUUUAAUCCCAAAACAGCACUUGGCUAUAAAGGUUAUUCUUGAACCUAGUUGAGAAAAGCAGCAUCUUUAGUGGAUUCAAACUCCUUAUGAUACCAAGGGAGAGGACGCAAGCAUUAUAAGGCCGAACUUCUAUAAAAAUUGUAGUCGGAUGCUCUCUCUUCUUUUCUCAUUUUUACUUACCUUAAUUAUCUUUGCUUGCAUUUAUAUUCUUGGUUGAUCUUGCAUUUAUAUGGCGCAUGCCCUCUAAAGCUCAUAUGUCACAACCCAAACCCAAGGGGCCAUGACCAGUGCAAAGAUAUCAAUAGGAGUAACCCACUUAACCAAAGCAAGCCUCUAAACAAAUAAAUGUAAUUACUCAAUUUUCAUCAUUGGACAAAUCACCAUGGAAUUAGGUAUAAGCCAUGCAGCCAAUUGGAUUGCUCAAUGUUUAUAUCCUUAACAAGACAACAAGAUACUCGUAACGAGUAAUCAAAGGUUUUCCUUCAUCAAUAAGCUAUUGUACGUAGUCUUAAUAGAUGAAGUCGAAGGAAUUGAUGUGCCUUGCAAGCGAAUUGUAAAGUGUUACAAUUAUGAGAUCCAUAUGCAUCAAAGCAUAAUUUCUAAAUUGUUCCUAGUUGAUGUAUCAUUGAUAUUGGACAUCAAUAAUGCUUAUAGAUGAGCACAUUAUAUUUUCCUUACUUGUGAAGUAAGCAACCGAUCUCAAAUGUUGAAGUACGGAGAUACUUGGAACUAAAAUGUGGGUGCUUGUUUUUAGAACAAGUUCAUUGAACAUGACCCGCCAUAAGGAUUCCAUUUGAUACGUUACUUAAGUGUCUAUGAAAUAUAUCGUCAUGUGACAAUCAUGCAAGUAAUCCUUAGAGUUGAGACACCAGGUUGUCUUGUAUGAUGAUUGCAAUACUUUGAUAUCAUCGCUCUAGGUCUUAACUAAGGAUGCACAAACAAGAUGUUGUUGGGUAUAGCAUUAAACAUAUUAAGGCAAAUAAAUGGUCCAAAGAGGCUUCAUCACUCCAAGUGAUUUAAAAAGAUGUGUCUUUGCUGAUCUUGCCUUGAAGUAGCUUAAUGAAGUCUUUAGCCAAAGCAAGAUGGAUUUUGGAAAAGAAGUUUUCCAUAAUCCAAGAUAGCUAAUUAGUGGUUGUAAUAACUAAUACGAAAUUAUCAAAGAGUAGACAUUACACUAUGCUUUUAUGAUUUCUGAGACACUUGGUGAAGUGAUUGAUUUGAACUAAAAGGUUGAUCAUUGAAAAGUUAAGUCAAACCAUCUUGGCUCUUCUAACAUUUAGAUGGCCAUGAUGGAUUUCUAGAUCUUGCUUUUGGUAUAUAAAUUUUAAAUAGUUAAUUUGAUGAUAAAUUCAAAGUAGUUUGAAUUUAUCUAAUUCUAAGUUUAAGGAUUAUAUCUUAUGUUCAUUGCCAACAUGUUGGAAGCCUAAUGGGUCGCACACUUAAAAUAAAAAAUACUAAACAUAAAAUGGGAGAGGUGAUUAAGUUAAACAUAAUCAAAUUAUAAGUUAUAAGCUUCUUAAGGACUUAAUUAAAUAAUUUAAUUAAGUCAUUGAGUUAGUUGGCAAUUACAUAAAAGUUAUGUAAUUAACCUUAUUAGGGCUUAAAUUAAUCCAAGGUAUAAAAUACCUUGUUAUAGUCACCUAACACUAGCAAGCUUACACACUUACAAACACUAUUGCUCUAGCUUCACCCCUUGUGAAGAGAAAAAUGUUUCCUUUCACUUUGUGCUUAGUGUGGUCACCCCUAAGGUUGUUUGUGUGGGAAUUUGAGUUUACGAAACUCAUCUUUGCUAGCAUAUUGCCAUGGCAUAGCACUCCCAAUUGUUGGAGAAGGGUUUUUAAAUUCAUUAGUGUGGAUCACCAUUAGAGGCUACACAAGAACUCCUUUGAAAACUUUGGUUUGCAAUAAUUAGGCAAGUGUGGUUGAGUCUUUUAGGGGCUAUUAUGGUGGUUUAACAAAUGAUCUAGCUUUCUUUGUUUUUAAAGUAAUAUGAUCCGAUCAUAUGAUUAUAUGCAAAAUUUGAGGAGUAAGUAAAAGAAUAAGUUCAAAAACAAAGAUUCAAAUCUUUUAAAGAGUGAAUUGAAAAACAUACUUGAAAACAAUAAAUUUAAAUCUCUUCAAAAUAAAGUGAAAACACGCAAGUAUAAAAGUGAAGAGUGAGUAAGUUAUGAGUUUCAAAAUUUUCUUCAAGGUAAAAAGCAAAAGUUUGAGAAGAAGGGAAAUUCUCAAAACUUGCUUUUAUUUUAAGGCAUGUCAAAAACAAUUUGGAAAUUAAAUGAGCAAGUAAGUUGAAAACAGAUUCUAAAAACUCUUCAAAGUGAAGUGCAUAAAUCAAAAGUGUAAAGUAACUAGAAGAGUAAAUCAACGAAUACAACAAAAUAAGUGUAGAUUUUCAAAACUUUUCAAACCAAAGUAAAAGGCAUAAGUCUUUAAAAUUGAGUCAAAAGCGAUUGAAGAUUAAGUUGAAAAAAAAAAAGCAAGUUCAAAAACAAAUGUUCAAAUCUCUUUAUAGACAAGUAAAUACAUAAAACGUAGUGAAGAAUAAAGAGAAAGUGUACAAGUUUAAGAGAAACGAGAAGAAAGAAAAGACACAAAUCAUUUAUAGAGGUUUAGCCUUCUCUAUAGGCACCUACAUUCUCUCCAUCGGCUCACUAAAGAGUUUAUGAUCCACUAUGAAAUAUAUUUUUUAAGGCUCAAGUAUUACUUUUACAAUAGUUCCUUUUCACGAGCUUAAGCACAACCUUUACAAUGCUUUUCACGUGAGCAAGCAUAACCCACACAAUGCAUUUUCACGGAAGCAAGCAUAACCCCUUGCCUUUUCAAGGAUUAGGUGUAACCUCUUGCCUUUUCAAGGAUCAGGUGUAACUUCUUACCUUUUCAAGGAUUAGGUGUAACUUCUUACCUUUUCAAGGAUCAGGUGUAAACUCAUGACAAUAAUGCCUUUUAAAAGCUCAAGCAUAACUUUUCUUUCUUACAAGGUCAAAGAAAUGAUAUCUCUAGAAGGUGGAUUUUGCUUAGCAAGUACAAUGGAGGAAGAGUUUGAAAGAGCUAAAAAUGAUUACAAAAGAUAUAAGUGAAAGCACAAGGAAUUUGAAGCUCAAAGGUACCAGCUUUUUGGAAGAAUAUGAAUGGCUUGCUCUAGCUUCGUUUUCUCUCUUUUUCCUCUUCCUCUUCAUAUAAUUUGAUUCUUGAUCAAACGAUCUUUUUCUCAACUCUUCUAUCUUCCAAAAUGUGUUGGAGGAGUCUCUUUUAAACUUGGAAAAAGUUUAUAGUCAUCGGUGAUGAUUUAACGUAGAAACUAGUUGUUUUUCUUGUCUUUUUCGUAUUUAAUGGCUAUUUUUGGAGUCUGAAAAUCAAUUCUUUUUCUUGAGAGUUCUUCUUUAGUCUAGAGCUUUUUACUUUCAAAGAAUUUAUUCUUUAUUCUUAAGAAGUCAAUUCUUUUUGUCAGAUAAUCAAUUCUUAUCUCUCCAAAUAUCAUUUAUUCUUGGUUGAGAAUCAAUUCUUUCCUUUCCAUAUAUUGGUUCUUUUUGCACCCAGACUUCCAAGAAUCAACUUCUUGACUAUUGGAAUCAAUUCUUAAGCUCUUAAAAACUUGUCUAAGUAUUCUAUCUUGCAAAAUCAAUGUUUCCUUUCACAAAACAACUUCAAAUGUUAGUCAAGUAAGAAAACAUAAAAACAUAUCAAAAGCAUUCAAGGAUUACUCAAACUAUUCAAGGAUCAUUUAGACAAAAGAUUUUGAUCAUUUUUGUCAUGUCAAAACUCUAAUGAUUUUCAAGCUAUUAAAGCUAACAAUCUCCCCCUUUCUUAUAUAAAAAAAAACCUUAAGCAAAAUUUGCUGGUAAAAUACUCCUCCUAAAUAGUUACAAGGUUGAAAACUUUGAAGAUCAAAUAUUCCUUUUUCAAAAUGCAAAUUUUCUUAAUAUCGCUCCCACUUUUUUGUUAUAUAAAAAAAGAUAAACAUACAAUAAGCUCAAUUUGCAAAAAAUGAUAAGCAUAAUAAGGAAUAUAUCAAUUUGUUAGAAAAAGGUAUGCAAUAAGCACAUUUAUUAAUCUCCCACCAAUAUUCAAAGCCAAUACUAAUUAAUAAAUAUAAAAGCUCCCCUUUUCUAAAAACAAGCAUAAAAUCAAUUGUGAGGGAUAUAAUCCUUUCAAGUUCAUUUUAUCGAUUGGUAAGGCACUCAUAGAAGCUCUUCCUUGUUGCUUGCUAAUUUAUCAAGACAAUUUACUUUUAAAACUUUUAUCAAAUUAGCAAAACAUUAUGAAAGUGCACAUGGUCAACAAGUAAUAUAGUAGUGAGUGAGUUAUCAUCUCCACAGGGACUUGUAUCUAAAUUCUUGUUAAUUACUAAAAUUGGGCAAUCUAAUCUUAUCCAAGGAAUUCUAGUUUGGAAAUUAAUUGAAAAUGAAAAUUAAAGUAGCGAGGCUAAACUAGUGAACUAAGCUAAAAAAAUGCAAGUAAAUUGAGUUGGAAAAUAGUGGGGAAGUACCUAGUAUUAUGGUUUCAAUUAAUGCUUCAUUAAGACUUAAGAUUGACUAAUUACCUACUUUUAUGGAAAAAUAAUGCUAGCCUAGGAUCCUUAAGCAUGUAUGAUUCUCUAUUGAGAUAUCGUACAAUGGCCUAACUUAAUUUAAUUCUCUAUAUGUCUAUCGCUAAUUAAUUAAGCUAAGUUCCUUAAAUAUAGGUCAUAUAAAUUGACUGUAUAUGGUUAAUAGGUAUAUGUCUACCCUAUUAACAAAUCACCCAAUUAAUUCCUAAUUGCAAUGGUCAUAUACUACCAAAACCAUGGUCUUUUUAGACUAACUUUGUCAAGUAUUAUCUAAAAACUCAUACACAUUUUAUUGGUGACCAGAUAAUAAAAUGGAAAAUAAGUGCAGAUUUGAAUAAACACUAAAUAUUCCAUAAGAACAUGAUAUAGUCAAUCAAGCAUCCAAACUAUACAUUAAUAUCCACCAUAAUCCUAGAAAAGAAAGUUUAGCUUAACAUUCCAACAGCCCACAAUAAAAUUUCAGCAAAACUAAGCAUUUAUACAAGGAGAUUUAGAAAAGGAAAAAUAAAGCUAGUCAAAGAAAACUCUUUUGGUGUAACUUUGUCAAGCAUUUCUUCAAGAUUUUUCCUUUUCUUUUCUCCUUGUGGAAAGCUCCUUUUUGUCUCUGAAGUUGCUUCUCAAGAUGCUCCCCUUCAACCCUAAAAAAUGAUUGUAUUUAUACCCUUUUUGAUGGCCAUUUGAUGUAAAAUUGAAUGGCCAAAAAUGUGCAGAAUUACAUGUCGGCACCUAGGCACCCAAGGGCUGGUGCCUAGGUGCCCAAGGUUCUGUUUUGUGGCUUGUUUUAACAUAUUAGACAAUGCAUUCGGCACCUAGUCACCCAAGCUUCUAUCAACACUAACUAUAGUCUGUUAUAGUCAGUCAAUUUUCUCCAUAUUUUUUACGAUGAUUCCUUCCAAAUUGGGUGAAGUGAUAAACAUCAAAGUUGUAGCUCUUCCUCUUAAUUUUCUGUAGGUCCAAGUAUAUUCACUUUAAAGCUUAAGCACACUUAAGAAGGAUAUAAUUAAUUUAAAGCUCAAGUGGGAAAGAGACAAUACAAAGCUUGAUGUAAAUUUAAAGCUAGGUGCCAAUUAAGAAUACCUAAACCUUGAUAUCAAUGAUUAGAAGGAAACUUGAUAUCAAUUGUGCAUUUGAGCACUCAAGCAUAAGUGAGAGACAUUAAAGCACAUUUGGUGUUAGAAAGAUAUUACCAUUAAGAAAGAACACAAUUUGUUAAAUUCUCACCGCAACUUGUUGUUGAAGAUACCAAGUGCUAAUGACACUGAUCUUCUCCCUUAAUAAAUCAUAAGCUCAACAUAAAUUGUUUAAAGAGUUCUUAAACAUGUCCAAGGCAUCAUUAGUCAUCAAGUAUCAUUCCUAAUCAUUUUCAAACAUUAACAAACAUUCUUCAAUUUUCAUCCAGAAUAAUCAUUAAGCAGUAUUAAGCACUAUUAACUAAGCAAUUUCAAAAGAAUUCUCCAAGUCAUAUAAGAAUGAUAAUUCAAGAAGAAUUUUCACAAUAAGAACAUAUUAUCAAAUAUUAAAGAAAUAUGAUCAUCAAGCAUUUUUAGCAAGUAUUCUUCCAAAGCAAGCAUUUCAACAAAUAUUCUCCAAAUAAUGUAUAAAAUUAUCAAUUUGAAUAGAAUAUUCACAUCAAGAGAAGCACCAUUAUCAAUGAAGCAUUGCCAAAGCAUUUAGCUCUUGUUGCAAUCAUAUAAGAAAAAUAUUAUAUUCAAGUAAGCACAAGCAUGAUUACAAUAGAAUUUUUGGCUAUCUUCAUUAAUCAUGAUUCCAAUAUGUUUUAUGAAAUGCAAGCAUGAUUUUACUCUUCCUAAUAUAUAGACAUAUUCCAAAAUUAUGCAAUUAUUGAAGUUCAAAACACAUGCUAUUUCUUAAUAAUCUUUGUACUUCAUGAGUGAUACCAAUUGUUAUGGAAGAUAAAACACUCAACUCAUGAAUAUAUUUAAAGUAAACAUCCAAUGAUCAAAGAAUAACAAUUGUCAAGAUUCAAGAAAUAAGCAUUCAGUUGGUAACCCAUAAGCUCAAGUUGGAUGCAUACAAAGUCUUUACAUCAUAUAGACAUUCAAGCUUAUGGAAGACAUAGUCAACAUUUCAAGGCACAUUCAAAAGACUUUUCAACUAUGUCAACAUUUAAUACAAUUCAUGAUCAAACUUGAUAAUCAAAUCCAUAUUCAAAAGUAUAUUUUAAGUCAAGUAUUUUAGAUUUCAAUCAUUAAGUGUUAGCUUUAAUAUAUUGAAAAUUAUUAGAGUUUUGACAUAACAAAAAUGAUCACUAUUUUAAUAUUUACUUCUUUAUAUCGAACAUGAGGACUAUUUAAUAUAACAUUCCACACAUCUAAAUCCAUAGAUUGAAUAAAUAUUUUCAUACAUUUCUUCCAAUAUCAAUAGUUAGUACCAACAAUAAGAAGUGACCUUUGGAUUGACUACCUUUCACCAAGCACUAUUAUCGUACCCUCCAUUUUGAUGAUUUGAGCUCCUACUAUGGAUUACUCAAGACUAUUAAACUUGUAAAAAUUGAGCCCAUGCUUUGAUCCCAAUUGUUAGUAGUAUAAGCUCAAUGCAAAUAAUACUAAAAAGCAGCUAAAUUGGUAUUUUAAGAAUUUCUUUGGAAACCAAAUGUAAAAAGUAAAGUCUUUUUAAAGCAAGUUCCUCCUUGUGUUGAAAAACAAACUAAGUGAUUUUUCUCUAGGGGAAAUAACAACAAUAAACCACAAAGCAUAAAAAUAAAUCAAGACACAAGGAUUUAUAGUGGUUUGGCUUUUUAAGUGCCUACAUGCAUUCCCUUGGCCACCAAGGAAUUUCCAAUCUACUAAAAAAGAUUUUUCUUUUUAACAAGAUGAAGCGGUAACCCUCACAACGGCUUUUUCAUGAGAUCAGAUGAUAACCCUUACAGCAGCUUUUUCACGGGAUUAAGCAAAACCCUCACAAGAUUUUUCAUGGGAUCAAGUGAAAUCCUUUAACAAUGGUUUUUCAUUGACUCAACCACAAAAUGAAAAUAGCUUUUCAAAGUUAAGGUAGAACCUUUACAAGAAAAGUACAAUGUUUAGUAAGAAAAUGCAUCUACAAAGGCUGGGUACUAGGAGUUUAAGCUUGAGUUUGUCAGUGUAAGCUCUGCAAGCCAAUCAAUUUUAUGCUUGUAAAACACUACAUUAAUUUGUCAUAUUUCAUGUUAAAUACAUUAUGGAUAUUUUAUAUAAUGUAUGAGGUAUUCCUUUAUCCAUGAGUUUAUUUAUAAAGAGUUAUGAGAAAUUUAUGUAGAUAAAGCCCUUGAAACAUAAUGGCCUUGCGAAGAAAUUAUAAAAGUUAUAAUUAUAAGAUUUUUAUGCAUCAAAGACUUGUUCGUAAAUAUGUUCCUGAUAAUUGUAUUGUGAAAAACAAGGACAUUGACAAUCCUUAAAGAUUGGCACAUGUUAAGCCUCUUUACAUUGGAAGUAAGUAAUCAAUCUCAUAAGUUGAAAUAUGUGAGAUACUUAAGGAUAGUAUAUGGGUGUUUGUUAAUGAACAAGUUCACUGAACAUGACUCGCUAUGAGAGUUCAAUUUGGUAUUUCACUCAAGUGUCUAUGGAAUAACUCUCAUGUGUUAGUAGUGUAAGUAAUCCUUAGACUUGUGAUACUAGGUCAUCUUGUAUGUGAAUUGUCAUGUUUUGAUUUCACCUUUACGGGUCUAGAGGUGAUUAGAUGCCUAAACAGGCUACUUUUGGGUGUGGCAUGAAGCAUGCGAAAAUGAAUGAGUAGUCCCUAGGGGAUUCAUCACCCUAAGUGAUUUGAAUGGGACAUAUCUCAUUUUCUCUUGGCUUAUAUUGACUAAAAAUCCUUGGCCUAGACAAUCUUGAUAGGUCAAUAUGCAAGUUACAAGACUAAUAUGGAUAAGUUAGAAAGUAGACACUGAGCCAGGCUUUCUAUCUAUCCAGGGUAUACGAUAAAAGGAUCAAAUUACACUGAAAUACUGUACAUUGAAAGUUUAGUCAAACCAUAUUGACUCUCUUAACAUUUUGGUGGUUACGAUUUAUUACUAGAUACCUUUCAUUAUCUAUAAAUAUAAAUAUAAAUUUUGAAUUGAAUUAAUUUAUAUUUAUUACCAACAUGUUUUGCACCUAAUGUGUCACAUACAUAAGACGAAUUGUCAAAAUUAAUCUGAGUUCAAUUGGUUGUGAUUUAAUUGAUUUUAUAGAGGUUUAAUCUGAUUAAGUAUGAGGCUAACUCAAAUAUGAUUUAAUGGAAUAUUAAACAAAGGCCCAAUUAGCCCAAGACAUUUUUUAAUCCUUAUUGGAUAUGAAGUAGGUCAAUUCACUUUAUAAAAAAAUCUUGUAGCCACCUCUUGAACGUACAUAAAAGUUCUGUUUUAUUAUCUCAUGUGUUGAGAUAGAAUCAUAGACUAAAAGAGAGAAACACAAGGGAGCUCAAAGUUGAGAGUUUGUUAGCACAGACUUUAGCUUAAGGAUUCACACACUCUUAAUGAAGAGAUUUCGACAAGUCACUGUAAGGAUCACCAUUAGAGGCAGGACAAUUGUGCUGUUAUGGUUUGAUAAGUCAUAGUUAGUGUACAAAAGUAAAAAAAAAAAUGAAAAGCCAAGAAGGACUCCACCAAAGAAAGUAGACAUCAAAUUUUCAAGUAUAUGAAAAUCUUUCUCUUAUGUUUUUUCCUAUAUUAAUUUCAAUUAAAGUGAUCCAUGGCUUAAGGGAUUGAAAUUUUAACAUUCUAUUGAGUAUGAUCCGCCUUAGCAUGAUUUGAAUCCCCUUCAAAGCCUACUGAGAGAAGAAAUUUCAGCUUGAAUGAUGAAAGUAUAGGACCUUUUUGAGCUUGGUGGAAGACUAAAAUGAAGAUAGAGAGUGAGGAUAAGCUUUUGGAGGUCUCUUUAGGGUUUGAAACUUUAUCUCAAGUCUUCUUUUGCUUCCAAAUGACUUAAAGGCGUCUAUUUAUAGCUAGUGUGGAUUUUGGAGUCAUUAGACACAAGCUUGAAUUAAAUUUGACAAGCUUUGCCGAGGUUGACUAUGUCUUUUGAUUUCUCUCUUUUUCAUGUAUCAGAGUAGCUAGGGUCAACUACCACAAUGCCAUGUUCUCUAAUUUUUCAAGCUUUCUACUUUAAGGUUAACUAUAGCCACUUCAAGAUCAACUGUGGCUUUGUAUACUUCAAGUUUUUCAUUCUUUCUGCCUUUGGAUCGACUUGAGCUUCUCUAGAGUUGACUCUUAACUUGUGUCUUGAGGUUGUCGUAGCUUUUUGGCACCUUUCUUCAACUAUUUCUUCUUUGCCUUGUUUCAACAAUCAAAUAAUAAUUCAUAGCAUGUUUGCCUUUUGUUUUCUUAGUUGAAUAUGCAUUGUUUGAAAGCUAUUGUGAUAUUUUUUAAUGACUAAUGGCUUUUUAAACAAUUAUGUGACCUUAGGGAAUUUAAAAUAUAUUUGAGAUAAUUUCAAAUACUUGAUAUUAAGUUCAAGAUAACAUGUAUUUUUUGUCAAAUCAAUCUGUGAUGUAACUCAAGGCUAACAUUGUUACUUAGAGUUUGAAAAACUUUAGUAACUUUAUCAGUUAUGUUAAAAGAAAGAUUCCCAAAUGGUCUGUUGUGCACAACCCCUGUUCUGAUAAUAUGUUCCUUGACCAUCUUGCAAAAGCUGGAGUCGAUCAUGCUGCUGAUUUAUUGAGAAUAUCUACACAGAGGCUAUUUGAUUCUUAGUGUAUCUUGGUUCCUGUUGAUUCUGCUUUUCUCUCCUAGGUUUUUGUUUGCUUUGUUUGGUUUCUUGUGUUGUUCUUUGUGAGUUUUUGUUUUUUAGUUGGCUCUCUGUUUCUUUUUGCUGCUAGUUGCUUGUGAGCAAUUGUGUUUGAGCCUUUUCUCUAUUCUUGCUGUGCAACUCCUUUUAUUAUAAAAGCAUUGCCAUUCAAAAUAAAAAAGAUUUUUAAUAAGAUAAUAAUUUUGAUUGAAAUUAAUAAAUUAAAAAAUAUUAAAAUUCAAUUUACAUAAAUUAUUGAAUAUAAAUUAAACUUUUUUUACAAAAUACAUAAAUUAAUUGCAUAAUUUAAUUUUUUUUUUCAUUUGCUACUCUCCACGCAUCCUCUUCAUACUCAUAUUUUAUAAAACCAAACUUCUUACUUUUCCACUAUGCUUAAAGAUCCACCGAUGCCAAUUACCAUCCACAAGUAUAGGCCAUAAGGCCUGUUGGUACGAGCAACUACCAUUCCUUAUAUUAGUUAAGCUUUCAAACAGUCAUUCUUUAUAUAAUAUAUAUAAUUUUGACAAGCGUUAAAAUUAUAUAUAAUUAUGAAUUAUGAAUUAACUCAAUCACGUAAAUAUAUUUUCUGAUAGAAUAUAAAAGAAUUGGUGCACUUUAAAGAGGAAAACAGAAAAAGUGAGAUAACAAUAUUAAUUAUGUAAGUUAUGUUUGCUGCUUCUAUCAGAAACCAACUUAAGCGAGUGAGGGAAGCAGCUUUUUGAGCUCCUAAGAUAUUGAGCAUAAGAAUAAGUCGAAUCCGAUUGCAAGCUGUUCGCUUCAUAAUCACUUGAGUUUCCUCUCUGAGUUGAUCGCAUUGGCGUUUAACAUCUCCAAACCUUUCUCCAAUAGUUCUUUGCUCCUCUCUUAUGCAUUGUUGAUCUUCCCUUACCUUUCCCAUUUCUGAUUUUAUUCGUUGG
This 83036-nucleotide long non-coding RNA is filed under the name Theobroma cacao (cacao). RNAcentral's name for it is "long non-coding RNA (TCAC_LNC004615)". Lineage: Eukaryota; Viridiplantae; Streptophyta; Magnoliopsida; Malvales; Malvaceae. The record is from RNAcentral.